UUUCAUAUGUCAAUGUGUUUAGAAAAAACUAACGUAGUCAUUUUGUUAUAAUUGUAAUCUGAAAUCAUCUCACAGACAAGAACACAUACCUUCCUGAGCCUCUUUAUUUAUUUAUCUGGUCUAGUUCAGCCAUAAGAGAUCCAGUCUCAUCCUCAUCAUCGUCACUUUCUUUAUAUUUAAGAAAGACAACCAGAUCGUAAGAUAACUCAAAGGAAAUUACAAGUCUCAGUUGAUAUAAGUCAUCAAAAACUCUCAAAAAGGAUAACACUGAAGCAAUUGCAUAUUCCCAAACCAGGGCUCUGAGGAAAAGCAUUAAAUCUCAAGCAAAGAAUCUUUAGAAGUUUAAAGCACAAAAGAUGAACUGCAAUAGGAAGGAAAGAAUGGAAAAUAGGUACCUAUCAUCAUCAUCAGAAUCAUCUUCAGAGUCCCUUUUAGAGCCUAAAAGCAGGAUAUCAGAGUUAGAAUUUAGAAAACAUAUAAUCAAACUACUUGUAUCCCGUGACAUAUAAUCAAAUAAACAUAUAAACCUUCGAGUAAUAGCUGAUUCCCUCUCCUGUAGUAGCUUUCAACUAAUGACAAAAAAAAAACACAUUAGUGAAACGAAGGAAGAAUCUUUACAAAAUCAUAUUGAAAAAAAGGUUUGAAAUUUAUCGUCUCACUCAUCACAGUGAGAUUUUUCUUUGGAAGAAAAGUUUCUCCUCUCACGCUCUUCAAGUCAUCACGAAGUUUCUUCUUCUAUAGAACAUCAAGAACUGAUCUCGGUGGUGUUUGAGCAACGGCCUGCUUUCAGAUUUGCGAGAAGAACGUAGGAAGUCGACAUAGUGGGCGGUGAUGCUUGGCAGAGUAUAAUCUUUGAGAAAUCUUAGCGGUGGAGCUGUUCAUGGCAUCUAACGGAGACAUUUAUAGUCUGAAGUCGUACCGAACUCAAACAUGCAUCGCUUACCUUCGUCGCCAAUUAUAAUACAUAAAUGAGGCGGAGUGGGAGGAGAUGUAUGGUGGUGUUAAAUGCUCAUUUUAAUGGUGGACUUAAAAAACGAAUCUGUUACCCAAAGUUUUCAUCGGAUGGAAGAGAAGCGAAAGGAUUAGGGCGUCUCAGUCGAGGAUCAUAAAAACUUAGUCAAACACGGGCCCACGCAUCUGAUACUUAUAAAGACCAAAUUAAAAUAAAAGCCCAUUCACCGAGAGACGAAAAUUUUAGGAGUCGAAGGUUAAGAUGCCACGUGGUGCAAAACGCCCACCUCUAAAAAAAAGACGUGGAGGGCUAAGGUGAGAGAAAACUCUGUUUUUAGGAGUCGAAGGUUAAGAUGCCACGUGGCGCAAAACGCCCACCUCUAAAAAAAGGACGUGGAGGGCUAAGGUGAGAGAAAACUCUGUUUUAUUAUUAUAGAUAUGAUUAAUGUUAAAAAAAUAUCACUAAUGUUUAAAAAUAAUAAUUUAUGUAUAAAAAAGUAAAAACAAACACCCGCGCGGUUGCGCGGAUCAAAAUCUAGUUAAAGAGUUAUUAUAUGAGAGACACGUUAUCAGAAAUCACUAAAGUGACUUCUCAAUUAAUAUAUAUGAAGAUAUUAAUCUACUAUAUAUUAAUUUUGGAGCAUUACAACUUUUGAGUGUAGCCAUAUUGACUUACAAUCCUUCGCAUAUAUAUGACAAUUAAUGAUUUUGAAUAAUAAAGAUUUGAUAAUAUUUUUUGUAUCCUCAAUAAUUUUUGUUUAAUUUAUAUUAUUAAAAAAUUUAAACAAUCACAGUAACCAUAUAAUAAAAAAAUCUAGAUUUUGUUUCUUAUAUGUUAUAUUUAAAAAAAUUUAAAACGAUUAUAAAUUACUAAAACUGUUAAAAGUCUUACAAUGAAAAUUUUGUGAACAACGGUUUUAGUUUUUUGUUAUAAAAAGAUACAAAUGAUCACAAAACAUAUCAAUAUAAAGUAUCAUUUAAAUAGAUAUUCAAUCUGAAUAUCUAUUACCGAGCUUAGAACUUUAGGGUUUAGUUAUAAUCUGAACGAAACCAAAAUCCUAACUAUAAUCCAAAGAUAUCAGAAAUUAGUAUAAUAUGUUAAUGUUUUUUUUAUAUAUGUUAAGGCAAUUUAGAUAUUUUAUAGUUCGAAAGAUUUUUGUAGUUUAUUUUAUUUGUUAUCUUGAAUAUCUUUUAGUUAAUUUAGAUAGUUUAACUAAUUUUAAUUAUAUUUAUGAAUAAUUUUAACAUUUUGAAGCUUUUUUCAAUUUUUGAGGUUUAAAAAUAUAUUUUGGGACGAUUCAGAUAUUGGUUACAAUCCGGUCCGAACCGAACCCGGCCUAAUUAUUAGUAAAACCCGAGUGGGACGUAUAAGCAUAAUAUCAAAAUUUUGAAAAUCUGAAUCAAUUGAACCGAAACCGACGGACCCCGAACGCCCAGACCUAUGAUACAUUUAUAUACAAACAUUUGUAUUCUUCAUUUUACAAUCGAUAAAGAUUAUAAUAUUGUAAAAUGUUAUAACCAUUAAAUAAAUAAAUAUUAGUAUAAAAAUCUUACUCCGCGCCGAUUAUCAUCUAGUAAUAUUAUUUGCCAAAAUCAAUAUACAAGGACAUAAAUAUUAAUUCAUAAAUAUAUUAUAUUUAUGAUUUUACCCUAAAAAUUUUUAAAACUAAAAUAAUUUUCUAGCCAGGUUUUUUGUUAUUUUCGUGUUAUAGGGGAGAAAAUGGUAUUUGAGAAUAUUUUAAAAAAUAAAAAAAACAGCAGAAAGUAGAUAAUUGGUUCGAAAUGUCGUUUUAAUAGGUUCAGCGCCAACAAUCAGUCAGGAAACUAUAACUUCACCUUCCAUUCUCUCUAUCUUCUUUUCAAUCAUCUCCAGAAUGGAAUAAACAAUUAGGUAGUUUCGAUUCGAUGCUGCUCAGCUCAUGUCUUCUUACACCAUCAAAGAAACAAUGGCGACUAAAGAUGAAGUCCAGAACGACCCACUGUUGCAGGCAUCAGAAAGUGACGGUCACGAAGAGUUCAACGGAGCUUCUUUCACCGGAGCGGUACUCAACCUGGCAACAGCGAUCAUCGGUGCUGGUAUCAUGGCUUUGCCCGCCACGAUGAAGAUCCUCGGACUUGUUCCCGGAAUCGUGAUGAUCCUUCUCAUGGCUUUCUUGACCGACAAGACUAUUGACUUCUUGCUUAGUUUUAGCGGAGUCGGGAACGCUAGAAGAUCGUACGGUGGUUUGAUGGAAGAUUCUUUCGGCAAAACCGGAAGGAUUGUGUUGCAAGUUGCUGUUCUUGUUACCAACAUUGGGGUUUUGAUCGUUUACAUGAUCAUCAUUGGUACUUGAUCUUUGAUACUAAUCAGAGCUUUUGAUCUUUGGCAUUUGUUUUAACUCUUGUUUGGCUUGAAGGUGAUGUUUUGGAGGGUAUGCUUGAAGGAUGGUUUGGAGAAAGCUGGUGGGACAAGAGAAGUAUUGUUCUUCUCUUUACAACUCUUUGUGUCUUUGCUCCAUUGGCAUCCUUCAAGCGCAUUGGUUAGAACAAUGUGUUGCAUACUUCUCUUAAAAUGAAAUGGAGAGUGUAUCCGGUUGAUUUAUUAUGGCUUCAUUGCAGAUACUUUGAGAUUCACGUCUGCCCUAUCACUUGUUCUAGCGGUUGUUUUUCUAGUCAUCACUGCGGGAAUCGUCGUUACAAAGUUUUACAGAGGUGGUUUGAUGAAGCCAAGACUCUUCCCAAACGUCACUGACUUGUCAUCGGUCUGGAAACUCUUCACCGUUGUUCCUGUGCUUGUCAACGCAUACAUUUGUCAUUCUAACGGUAACGCUUCUUUCUCACUAAAAGGAUUAAACAGGAACUCAUGGUUUUUUGAUGUUUUCAGUCCACAAUAUACAGAACGAGCUUGAAGACUCCAUUCAGAUCAAAGCUGUUGUGCGUUCAGCUCUAGUGAUGUCCUCCUCUGUUUACGUAAUGACAAGCUUGUUCGGAUACCUCUUGUUUGGUGAAUCUACUCUUGAUGAUGUUCUUGCAAACUUUGAUACCGAUCUUAAGAUCCCUUUCGGUCCGGUUCUCAGUGAGGCAGUCAGACUCAGCUAUGCAGCUCAUCUCAUGCUUGUGUUCCCUGUUAUCUUCUAUCCUUUGCGCGUUAACCUGGACGGUCUCUUGUUCCCUACGGCUACUCCAUCACUUACUACCUCUAAUAUGAGGUUUGGCUCCAUCACUGCCGGUCUCAUUGCUGUAAUCUUUGUUGGUGCAAACUUCAUUCCAAGCAUCUGGGAUGCUUUCCAACUCACUGGAGCUACAACUUCUGUCUGCAUCGGUUUCAUAUUCCCUGCUGCUGUCAUCUUGAAGUAAGUCCCCAUUGUUUCUCAUAACAGACUGGUUUUGGAACCUAAUGGAUCAUUUUACCUGAGGGUAUCUCUUCAGGGAUCGUCAUAACCGAGCAACAAAGAUGGACAAGACUAUAGCCAUUUUCGUGAUUGUCCUUGCGGUUUUCUCCAGUGCAGUUGCCAUUUACAGUGACGCUUACGCCUUAGUCAAGAAGAACAAAUCCACAUUUCCAAUGUGAGCAGAAUGGUUUUGUUUGGUUCUCUUACUCUAAGAAAAAAAAAAAACUUGACAACUGUAAGAAUGACCCCUGUGAUUUUGAUCUUUAGAUCUUGUUCAGCUCUAGAUCAAAUAAAAAUGUCAGAAGCGUCCAUGUCUAGAUCAUAUUUGGCCCUAGAACAAUAUCCAAAUUAAAAUACUGUGUUGAACUGAUACAAUUUGUCACUGUGAAUCUUUAAGAUACAGACAAAAAAACAGCAACAAGUGUCUAUUAGGAGUCGUUGGGACAACUCAAAACAAAACAAAAGAGUUAUAAAGAAUAAAAGGUUUACUUUUAGGAAUUUGACUUAUCUCCAUCGCUGGAGUCAGCCGGAGAAGGGAAGCAUUGGCAAUAUCCAUUAAUGCUAUUUCUUGAACUGCUCUGAUCUGAUCACUUUUCUCAAACUCUUUCUUCUUCAGUGCAGCGAAGAGAAGUUAAACAAAGAUGAGAGAUGUUACAGUCACAAGUGAAUAUAAAUCAGUGCAAAAGCUAAAAAAAAUGUUAAAAAACAUAUCUCAAGUAAGCACUGCACCUGAUAAACAUAAUAGAAAGCUUCUGACUAACUGUCUAGCUAAGAAAACUCAGAGGAGACGGGUAGUGUGCACUCAUCAAGAAGUGCCUCAGAGCCAAUGGAUGGUAACUUUCUGUGAUCUACACAAGAUUGAAACAAAAAGACGGAUCAGAACCUGUCAACAAUUCUGCGUUUAGGCCAUGCGAACAAUGAGUUACUAUAUUUGGAAAGAAAAUAGAACAAUACUCAACGGGUUCUCCACACUCUCAUUAGCACGUAUGAUUAUAAGCAAAUUAACUUCAUAACCUAAAUGCUUCAAGUAUCAACGCAAACCCAUGAUAUGUGCAAAGGCUCAAGCUUUCUUUUCUACGAAUCUAAGUUACGAGAGAUGGGAGAAUUGAAAGCAUGCAUCUAGACCUGUAGAGAACGUCGAAGGAGACGACGGAGGCGCGAGCAUGGCCGACUUUUCGCGUGCCCCAAUGUGAAAUGUAGAAUCUCCUAUGGAUUCCUAGAGUCUCAUAUACCCCUAUUUCAUAAUUAUUUUUUUGAUCAAAAUCCAAACUUUCAAAUCAAAUCCUUCCAGGUCAUCAAAACUAAACCCUAACCCUCCCCUAUAAAUUAGUGAACCCAUGGACAAAUAUUUAAAUUCAGAAUAAAAUAUUUUAAAAUCAUUUUUAAUCAUAUUUUGAUGAUUUUUUUGAAAAUAUGGAAAACAACGUUUUUGGAUUUUUGAAAUAUUUUUAUCAAAUUCUAUAAAUCAAAUAAAAAAUAUUAACGUUUCAAUUUUAAUUUUAUGAUUUUUAGUUUGACAUAUAAAAUUAAAAGAACAAAAAGAUCCUUUUGAGAUUGUGUUAUGAGAUAUAAGGGUAUGAGAAGAUUUGUCUCUCUUUGCGGUUAGAAAAUGUAGGAACUGUGACCAAGAUCUAUAGGUGGGAUCCACUCUGUUUCUCCUUGAGCCAUCUUUUUUUUAAUGCUAGUUUAUUAUGAUAUUACAAUUAUGAAAAAAAUUAUAUAGACGAUUCGACAACCAACAAUACUACUUGCCUUAUGAGGAUUUAUGCAUAACUGCAUCAUGCCUUAUGAGGAUUUAUGCAUAACUGCAUCACCUCAGCCGUCCUAUGAAAAUCCACGUUUGGCCGAAUUUAUUUGCGCCAUGUUAAAAAUCCCUUGUAAGCUUUUUUCCGUAAUUUGUAUAAUUGUUUAAUAAAUCGUUUUUUCCGGGAAUUGAAAGUGGACCUCAUGUAAUAUGCAAAAAUUUGCAUAGAGAUUCGAACCCAAACAUGGAUGUAGAAACCUUUAAACAUUAACCAUAUGAUAUAGUGCUUCCACUAAACCAUCUAUCUAAGAUCCUGUUUCAAAGAAAAACUAAAACUUUAAAUAUUUGAUUUCAAUUAUAUACUCCAACAAAAGUUUAUAACUUUAAAUUUUAAAGUUUUGAAUAGUUAAACUUUAAUUUGAGAUUUUAUAUUUUAAAGUUUUAAAAAAAUUAUCUGUUUUCUAAAUAAUCUUGUUAAGUUUCAAUAUUAUCAUUUUAGUUCUUAUAAUUUCUAUAUUUCAUUAAUAUUUUACAUAUAAAAUACUGAUUUGGUUUGCAACUUAUAUCUAACUAAUAAAUAAAUUUAUAUGUCAUUUUAAAAUUUAUUAACUGAUCAUAUAUAAAAACAUUACAAAAUAAUUUUAUUGAGUAGUUUGGUAUUUUAUUUGUAAGUAAUGAUUUAAUUUAAGUUUUUCAGUUAUCAUUUAUCAUAAGAUAGCAUUUUUCUAACCAAUAUUAUAACUAUUAUAACUUUAAUCAAUUUUUAAUUAAUAUCGAAAACUAAAGUGAAUAUAUAAUAAGAUUUAAAAAUACAUUGUAGGUUUUAAUAUUGGAAAGUAACACCCCAAAUCUCAAAUUUAGGGGUUUUCCAACCUUAAAAAUAUGGCUCCUCUUGAAAAUGCUCUAAGUUGGACUAUGGGUUUGUUCAUGGAUAUGAUCAACUGGAAAAAUAGACUGUUUUCAAAUAUCAAAAUUGUAAUCUCGUUACAGAAUUUUCUUCUUUUUUUUUUAAAUUAGAAAUUUUGUUUAUGUUGAAAUAACACUGUCAAGAUAUGUUAUAGUUUACUAAUUAAAUACAGGAUUAGAGUGAGCUUUGGGUUCUAUAUAGAUUCAGUUGCUCCACCACGUAGACCAAAUUGUUUAAAAAUUGCCUCAAUUUUUUUUUUUUUUGGUGUAAAAUUGCCUCAACUUCUUGUUCAUUCUUUUAUUAGAAAUGAUAUAAAGGAGUGGGAUCUUCAAUUUUUACGAGAAUAUAUGCACCCCGAAGAUUUAACUUUGAUCUUUGGUGUUUCCCUAUGUCUGACCGAUAGGGUUUUGUAAUCUGCGGUUUCUAAUUUUCUUAGUGGUAUAUACUCUUCUGCUUUGGUGUGUUUGCUUUGUUCUAAAUUUUCUCAGUGCAUUACAAAUAACAAUCUUGGUUUUGUGGCUUCGCUUUGGUUCGGGGAGUGCCAAUUCCGGUUUUGAUUGGUUGGUUAAAGCAACAAUUGCAAAGUUUUGGUUUAAGGCAAGUCCUUUAUGUUGCGUGACAGUGAAUACUUUUGUGUUGAGUAGUUUAGUAAUGCGUUCUUUCCAUGGUAAUUUAUUAGCUAUGUGCUCUUUUUAACGACGCAAGGCAACAGCUAUCUUUAAGGAGAAUCUUCACACCACUAUUCUGGUGUUUCUCCUCUGGUGGGGAGGUUUUGGCUUUGCUUCUCUUCUCUGAAAUUGACACUCUUUUUACAGCUGAACCUUUCGUUGUCUUUAACUUGGUAGUCUGUGGAACUCUUGUGCUAGCCUCCACGCUUUAAGGAGAAACAAAAUCUAGAGUCACCUUUAUACUCUUAAACAGUUUGCAUAACAUUUGAUGAGAUGUUUCUCAAAAGUCCAUGGCUUUAUAUCUGUAUAUGGAAAAACAUACAUCGACCAUAAGCAAAGUAAAUAAGAUAGAUUUUGAAUAAGGGAACUCUUUUGUUAGGUCAUAGAGCUUGUUCCAACGUCAAAUUAUGAUUCACAUUGUCUGUCUUUUAUGCAUUUUGGUUUGUUUUGUUUUGUUGAAGAUGAAAGUGUAAUGAGCAUUCGUCAAUCGUUUCUUCUCACGUAUAUUAUGACUAUCCGAGUUAAAGAUGCUAAUUAACCAGAGUAAAACUUUGAAAGCUGAUUUAGAUUUUUCAGAGAAGAGAACUCUGUGUAGUAAGAAGCAUUUGAGAUUGAAGAAAAGAACUAGUUCAUUAACAGUUUUGGUUGCACUAGGAUUCCCAGAGUUAAAAGAUGCUUUUUGGUUGCUUACCACAGUAAAAAGAUUGAGACUUGAGUUUGCAAGAGAAAAGAACAACUUUUUAACAGUUAGAAACAUACAGUAGUAAAACUUUGAAAGCUGCUAUUCAAAUGCUAAAUUAACCGCAGUAAAACUUUGAAAGCUGGUUUAGAUUUGAGACCUGAGUUACUAAACUUUAUAAUGAACAGAAACAACAUAUACUAAACAGAGACUUUAAACAGGAGACAUACUAGACCUUCAUGAAUAUAAAGUACGUACUAAACCUUAAUGAACGGACACUAAACUGAAAGAAGUCUGUCGAUUUCUUCAACCCCAAGACUUUGGUCAGAGUUCUCUUAACGGUCUUUGUCUUCCAGAACCUCAACUUCAAAGGCUUCUUGUCUGAAACAGCAACAUCAUCCGUCGCUAGUUUCUUCUUGGAACCUCUUCGUCUGAUUCUCAACUUGAACAGGUUCGACAGAAACGAGUUACUUGUCUUCUCCUCUGUUGUCUUCUCAUCCUCUUCUUCAACUUGUGGACGAGGCAAGAAGGGAUGAAGCAACAACUCAUGCGCGCUUCCUCUCUCCUCAGGGUUCCUCGAGAAACACGUUUGGAUAAAGUCCUUUGCAUCACAAGGAACCGUUUCAGGUAUCUCUGGAGAUUUACCAGAGAGGAGACGAGUAGCGAUCUCAUCUAGUUCGAGGCCUUCCCAUGGAAUCACGCCCGUGUACAUCUCCAGAACCAAACACCCCACCGACCACAAGUCUAGAGACACGUGGGCGAUGCCGUCACGGACCGACUCGGGCGACAUGUAGAUCGCAGUCCCAAGCCACGGGAAAUUAAUUUCCCAACACAGGGGAACCUCUCCUAUCUCUAACGCGUUGCCGAAAUCACAAAUCUUGACCUCGUAUGAAUUUUGUCUCAAAGAGGAAGAAGGGAAGACGAGUAUGUUGUCUGGUUUGAUGUCGCAAUGAACGUAGCCAUGGUCGUGAAUCGAGACCAAACCUUCGAGAACCAUCCGUGUGAAAUCCCUGAUCAACGGUUCAGGCAACUUUCUGUCGGCGUAAUUGUUCAUGAAAGCGUGGAGACUACCUUCGGAAGCAAACUCGAGUUGUAGUUUGUGGAGUUUCUCCCCGAAUCUGCUGAAACUUUGUUGGAGAGAGUCUCCGAGACAUGUGACGAUCCUGGGACAUCCCUUGAGUUGGAGAAGAACGUGGAACUCUCUUUGGAGAGCGUUGUAGUCUUCUUGGUAAGAGUUCUUUACGGCAGAGAGGUAGAAAGAGUUGUCGUCGGGAUUAUUGUAGCGGACGAGAUUAACAAAACCAUAAGCACCUUUGCCUAGUAACUUGACGAAUUCUUCUUUCGUUUGCAUCUUUUCAAUCGGGUUUUGACACAGAAUCGUUGUUCGGAAACGUUGAGAGAAUUAAAAAUAGGAAACUGUGGCGAAGGAGAAGUGAUUUCAGAGUGUUAUAUAGAGAGUUGGGGUUCAGUUAAGUCGGUGUUGCAGACACACGGAAAAAGGAAAAUUGAAUAACAUAAUUUCCUUUUCUGAGAUACUUCAAAAAGGAAAUUCGAAGCGCUGGCCAACGGUUGAAAAAAGGAAAAGAAUUCGAAUUUUUGGUCAUUUAUAAUUAAAAUGUCCAAAUUUAUAACAAUAAAGAAUUUGUCCACGAUUUAGUUAAUGCUUUCAUAUAAAUUUUUAUUCAUGUCGUUUAAUGCUUAAAAUGUAGUUUGGAAAAAUAUAGGAUUAUAUUUAUUUUCAAAAUUUUAAAGCAGAAAAUGGUAUUUGUUUUGAAACUUCCUCAUUAAACAUAAAUGCUGACAAUGUUAAAAGAACAUAGUGUAUUUGUGACAUCUAAAAAAAACUAUAGAACUUCUAGUGGAAAAAUGUUUAAAAUAGUGACUAAACUUUUUGGCUAUAAAUUUGUUAAGCAUGACAAUUUACCUGAAUUCAAAAACAUGUUCACUAGAUCAAAAUAACCAAAACCGGACCAAAACUUUCAAAUAUUUGGAUACUUCUUAUACUUUUAUAUUCAAAAUAAUCAAACCAAAAAUUAAAUAGACAUCUAUAUAAAAAUAAUUUGAGUCGUUUGAUAUAAUUCGAAUCAUCCUAAUUACUCAAUAUUUUACUGAAUCAAACGAGACCUCGGAUCACAAACAAUUUCUAGUUUUACUAUCUAAACUAGUCCAAAAACGAAACUAUCCGAACUUAUUCAAACCAAGAAGUUGGCAGUUCCUAAAAAUACCUGUUCAAAAUAUCUGAUACAUGUAAUAUCUCACACGAGCCGAAUCGACACCCGAAAUGCCCUAGUCUAAUUUUGUAUUUGAUUUAAAAAAAUCUAACUUUUAAUACACAAAAAAAUUCAGGCUUUGUUUUAGAAAUUUGAAAGAUUUAAUUAAAAAUUGUUGCUAUAACUAAAAAUGUAGUAAUAUUAUAUAUAUAUACUUAUAUAUGAUAUGUAUUAGUUAAUAUUUAGGAAAUUAACAAAUAUGAUAAAGCAAUAAACUGAUACAAUUAAUUAGAUUUAUAAAAUGAAAAUAAAAAUAUCUUAUGUUAAAGAUUUAUUGUUAAAUAGUGUUUUUGGAAUUAUUUUCAUACUUUAGUAGUAUAUCAUGACUCAUUUAAAUCAUAAUGGAGAUGAUGUAAGGGAAAUUCUAUCAAAUAGCUAUUUUUAAGUUUUUGUCACAAAAAUAGUCCUCACGAAAGAAAAUGAUCAAAAUAAUCUUUUUUUUUAUUUUAAAAAUUUUAAUAUUUAUUUUUAUUUUUCAAAAUUUGAAACCCUAUUCCCAAAACCUCACCCCUUAACUCUAAACCUUAAUUCUAGAUUAGUUAACCCUAGGAUAAAAAUACAUUUUUAUCAUUUAGUAAAACUUAUUUCGAUCAUUUUCUUCGUUAGAGGUUAUUUUUGAAAAAAAAACUUAAAAUGACUAAUUUGAACUGAAUAUAUAAAAUAAAUAUAAAAAACUUCAUUAGAGGCUAUUUUAUUCAUGAGGAUUUUUGUGAAUAAACUCAAAAUAAAGCUAAAUCGAUAUCAGUUUGAACCUCAUGAGUCCCUCUUAAAGUGUUUUUCAAAUAUCAAAUACCUUAAAAUUUGUUUGAAUGUGGUAAGAUGAUCCAGUAUACUCCUCUUAGUGUUUUGUUAUCAGUGAAAUCACUGAAUGACCAGAUAAUAUCGUAAUUUGUUGGCUGGAGUCAGCUUAUUAUAAGUUUUGGUUCGAUCCUUUUAGAAAUAGUAAAUGUCGGUUCGGUUCAGAUCGAAUCGGUUUGGUUCAACAAAACAAAUCAACACCUGAGUCCCCCCCCACCACCACCCAAACGCCUCCAUAAACCUCAUGUGCUUUGUUCAGAGGAUCUCGUCUUCUUCUCUUUCUAAUCGAAAAUGGGAACGUUGGGACGAGUAAUCUACACUGUGGGUAACUGGAUUUGCGGGUCUGGGCAAGCUCUAGAUCGCAUCGGUUCUCUUCUUUAAGGGAGUCACCGCUUGGAAGAACACCGUGAGCCACAUUCAAACCCUAGAUCCAAAUCCACAUCUCUAAUUUGUCGCUUACAAGAAAAGAUCUGUUCAUAUUCGAGAAAUUGGUGGUCUAAUUUAGGCUCUCGUUUUCCAUUGGUUGUUGAUGAGUGUGUUUGACAUCUUAUGUUACCUGCGGACAAACAUAUAUCAAUUACCAUUUCGAUUAAAAACUGUUGAACCAUGACAGAGAUCAACAUUGCAAUACUCUCGGAUUACAAUAGACAAUAACAACCGUAAUUUUCAGAAGAAAAAAAAAGAAACUGAAAACGAAGAUGGAGGGCAGAGAGAUAACCAUUUAGGGAGCUUCGGAACGCGAGUAUGCUAUUGAAGCUAUCAAAGUAACUUCUCCAUUACUCUAAGCGACUAUGUGAUAGAUUCCCUAGAAAUUAUCUGCAUAGAGCAAGACUCAAAGUUGGAGUUAUACUUCACUUGUCAUUAUGUAAUCAAGACAGGAGGUGUGUGUUUCCAUUGAUUCUCGAGGUUCUACAAAAAAAUGGUGUAAAGACAAAUGACGGAGUUGUUCUUGCAGUCGAGAAGACUAUCACGUCACCGUUACUGGUAAACUCUCCAUGUGAGACUUUUGGUGGGUUCUGCUCUUUGCUUUUUUAAAGUCUCUCCUUCUUUUUUUCAGAAGCCGGGCAGUCUGGAGAAAAUCAUGGAAACUGAUGACCAUAUAUGUUGUGCAAUGACUUGUCUGAUUGCUGAUGCAUGUAAUACUUGUUGAGCACGCACGAGAGGAGACUGAAGUGAGACCGCUCUCUGUUCCUACUUCCUAAUCAGCUCUGCCUAAGAAGGGUCAUAACUUUUUCUUUUUCUUUUACUUCAGACUUAUGAUUUUUAUGAUGGGAUCAUUUGUAAACACGAUUCAGAUUCACAAUUGAAUUGAACGAAAUGAAAACAUAGUUUUCUUAAAUUGACACUUGUCCUGUUUUUUAAACCUGAUCCCCCCUGCACAAAGUUAUGUAUUGAUUUUGGCCUUGUGAGUUGUGGCAUAAUAUGAGUUAGACCACUUAACUAGUACCACUUUUAGUUACAACAGUACAUGCGGCACCAAGCAAGGAUUGUGUCUUUAAAAGGAGGCGUUAUGAAUUUACCUCUUGAUAGAGUUAUAAGCGCAAUGACAUUAGAGUUUGGAAAGAUUUGUUUUGGUGAGAAGAAUAACAAUACAUGCAGUUUGAUAGGAAUAGUUAACAUUUUCUUAAGGAAUACAAUAUUACAUCAAACCAUUUCAUAAAUGUUAAAGUAAAGAUAGAACUCGGAUCAGACAUAACGGUUGUAAGGGAUACAAAUCAGAUCCAUCCAACCAUUUCCGUUGAUAAAGGUAUAAACCGAGUACUUCUGAGCUUCUUCGUCCGUCAUAUUGGGUUUGUACACAGUCUACACGGUUGCUAAGACCCAAACCCCAGUUCCAGUGUUCUUGUACUCUCCAUACCUCAACGUCCUAGGGUUCCAUGUGAUCCAACCCCUCGGCUCAACCAUGUCUCCUAAAAACAUCUUCAUAACAAGAACCGUUGCAAACGGCUUCCAAGGUCAUCCAAGUUACAGAGCCGGCUCAGAGGACAAACCACACAAACCAUCGUUUAGUGCAUACAAUACGAGAAAACAUAAUAUAUUUAUUAAUAAAAGUUAUAUAAAUAAUACUAAUAUUUUUAUGAUUAUUAUUAUUAUUAUUAUUACUAUCAAAUAAAUACAAAUUAUGUUUAUAAACUUAAUAAAAUUAUAUAAAAUAUAAGUAAAAAUUAUUAAAAAUAUAAGUAAAAAAUAUAUAAAACAUAAGAAAAAAUAUUAUCUUUUAAAUGUGAGAUGUUGUAUUAACAAAUGAUUUUAGUAAUUACGACUGAUUAUAGUUAAAAUGUUGCUGAUAAUAUUAACAAAUAUUACUAUACAAUUAACUUUAUAAAAUUAUAUUUAAUAAUUAUUAAUGAAGUUGAAUUAGUUUAAAGUUUUUUGUGAUAUCUUAUAUUUUACAUAUAUAUAUAUAUAUAUAUUAGGAAAAAAUGUAAAUAUAUGUUGUUAAAAGUUUGUAAGGCAUCUAAAAGUGUUGGACCUUGUUAUGGCAUGUUCGUGCUGUUGAAAAUCACGAAGCCUGGGAAAUAAUUUGUAAGGCAUCUAAAAGUGUUGGACCUUGUUAAACGAACAGAGGUAGGGGUGGACACUUUACCCGAAAUCCGAAGUGGCACCUAAACCCGAUCUGAAAAACCCAAACCGAAAUCCGAACCGAAGUAGCAAAAUACCCGAACGGGUAUUAAAUUAGGAGAGAUUGGAUAUCCGAACCCGAACGGAUAAUAUCCGAACCCGAAUGGAUAUCCGAAGAUAACCGAACAUAUAUAUAAUUAACUUUAUAUUUCUACUUUACAUCUCUCAUUUUAUAUAAAACAUUUAUAUUGAUAUUACAUAUACUUUAAGUUCAUAUGAUAUAUAUAUAUAUAUAUAAUUAUGAAAAAAAUGAUUUGCUACUCACUUAAAAUGCAUGUCAAGUUUUUUACUUCAAAAAUUAACAAAAAGUUACAUCAAAAUUUUAAAAACAAUAACUAAAUUAAUGUUUUUUUAGUUUUAAAAUGUUAUGUCCAAAUCUAUUAACCAUUCAAUCUAUUAAAAAUAAAAAAUAAGUUAAGUGAAAUUUAUAUUUUUAAAUACAAGAAAUUUGAGAAAUUAAAAUUGAAUUUUUUUCUUUCAAAAUCUAAAUAUCCGAACCCGAUCCGAAAUAACCGAAACCGAACUAAAAAUACCCGAACCCGACCCGAAGUACAGAAAUAUCCGAACGGGUUCUACACUUGUAUACCAAAAUACCUGAAAAUCUCAAAUACCCGAUCCGAACCCGAACGGGUAUCCGAACGCCCACCCCUAAAGAUGGAUAUCGUAAUUUGAUGGCUGGAGUCAGCUUAUUAUAAGUUUUGGUUCGAUCCGUUCAGAAAUAAUAAAUGUCGGUUCUGUUCAGAUCGAAUCGGUUUGGUUCAACAAAACAAAUCAACACCCGAGUCCCUCCCCCCACCCAAACGCCUCCAUAAACCUCGUGUGCUUCAGAGGAUCUCGUCUUCUUCUCUCUUUCUAAUCGAAAAUGGGAACGUUGGGACGAGUAAUCUACACUGUGGGUAACUGGAUCCGCGGGUCUGGGCAAGCUCUAGAUCGCGUCGGUUCUCUUCUUCAAGGGAGCCACCGCUUGGAAGAACACCGUAAGCCACAUUCAAACCCUAGAUCCAAAUCCACAUCUCGAUUCGAGAAAUUGGUGGUCUAAUUUAGGCUCUCGUUUUCCAUUGGUUGUUUUGAUGACAGUAUCGAGGCAUCGGACGUUGAUGAGUGUGUUUGAUAAAUCACCAUUGGUGGAUAAGGACGUGUUCGUGGCUCCGAGUGCCUCUGUUAUUGGUGAUGUUCAGAUUGGGAAAGGCUCCUCUAUUUGGUAUGGCUGUGUUCUUCGAGGUAAAGGCCUUUUCUUUCCCACUAAAUCCUUUAAAAUGUUUUGUCUUUGGUAGCGUUAAGGCAAAGCCAAAUGAUAUUUGGUUGUUGGGAAUAGUAUGUCCCCCACAAAGACUUAAAAAACAAGAUUUGAUAUAAAUUGCAAGCCAAGUAUCAAAUUUGCAGCAUUAUACUUUGCAAGAUCGUGUGCAUUCGUUACAGUUUAGAUCUUUGCUGAUUUACUUGAUUGUCCUUUUCAUUUGAAGGUUCUAGGUUUAGUGUAUUCCUGAUGAGACGUUGUGAAAUAGCUGGAACUCAUUGUAACUUUUGUGCAGGUGAUGUGAAUAACAUCAGUGUUGGAUCUGGGACCAACAUCCAAGACAAUUCUCUUGUACAUGUUGCAAAAACCAACUUAGCUGGGAAGGUUUUGCCUACUACAAUUGGGGACAAUGUCACAGUAGGUAAACUUCUAAAACUGAUUUAUCAGCUUUUGAGAAUCUGUUUUAUGUAAUGUGUUCUGUUGCAUGAUUCUUACUUAAAAUCUUUGUGUGUAAAAAUUAAACCGAGCAGGUCAUAGUGCUGUCAUACAUGGUUGUACUGUUGAGGAUGAGGCUUUUGUUGGCAUGGGUGCUACACUACUCGAUGGUGUAGUGGUUGAGAAGCAUGCCAUGGUUGCUGCUGGUUCCCUUGUGAGAGAGAACACACGAAUCCCUUCUGGAGAGGUUUCUUUCUAUUCUCUUUUUCUUUUCUGGUUUACUUUCUACUGCGUUUGUGAUAAACAUAUUGACAAGUUAACAAACAAUUCAUGUGGCAGGUAUGGGGAGGAAACCCAGCAAAGUUCAUGAGAAAGUUAACAGAUGAAGAGAUAGCAUAUAUCUCAAAGUCGGCUGAGAACUACAUCAACCUCGCACAUAUUCACGCAGCAGAGAACUCAAAGUCAUUUGAAGAGAUCGAGAUUGAGAGAGCGCUUAGGAAGAAGUAUGCACGCAAGGAUGAGGAUUACGAUUCAAUGCUUGGGAUUGUCCGUGAAACUCCAGCGGAAUUGAUUCUCCCCGACAAUGUCUUACCGGAGAAAACUACCACCAGGGUUCCAACUACUCAUUACUGAUUCACCCGCCUCAGGUUGUUUUGCAGACAAAGAUUGAUUAAGUCAAGAGAGAUAUUAUCUUUUGGUUUUGCCCUUUUUUUCUUCCGAGUAAGCAUGGGAUUUGUUAUAUUCUUGCUCAAUAAAGCCGAAAAGAACAUGUACUGUUGCAUUAUGUCACAUUUGUUGGAUGAAUAAUUGCAUAAAGAAAAACGAUUUGCAUUCAUUGUGUUCUUCUCUUUUGCUGAUGAUGAUGAAAAUGAGUUUGGUUUCAAGGAUGAAUUAGUGUAUAGAGAUCAUGAUUUCUGAAUCCAAGUUAUAAACUAUUAGGACUUGGUGUUUUGGUUUAGUUUUUUGAGUUCUUAUUUUGCUAUUAAGACUUGGUGUUUUACUAUUUAAGCAAGGUUUUUUUUUUGCAUUGGUGUUGCUGUUUUGGACUAAAAUGUGGUUGAUUUGGUGUGUUUGGUUCUAGCAUACAUAUUUUACAAAGAUGCUGAUGAACUUAAAGUGGGACUAUAAGAUGGUUUGAAUACGUUUUCUAUAAUGCAUACGCAUGGCAUUUGGCUGAGUCUCAAGACCAAACCAAGCAUUGCGUGACUAAUAACAGAGACAUCACUGGAAGCUGACAAACAAUAUUUGGUCAGUGGAACGAGCAGGACCUGUGUUGCCUUGUCCCAUCCACAGACCACCGCUUAUCAAUAAUCCAGACAGUUCUCAGGGAUAUACCGAUUCGUAACAUCUAAUAAGAUGGCACCAGCAUAAAUUCUAAACAAAACAAACCUGAUUCAGUUUGCUUAGGUAAAAACUAUUACUGAAAAUUGUAACCUCAAAAAAAACACACAAAGAUUUCACGCUGAGUAAAAAGCAAAAUACUUGGGACAUAGACUGAUUUUUAAAUUCAGCUUGGAACUUUAACACCAAAGAGCUAAAGACGGACACAGUUAUAAUUCCAAAGUUAUUUGUGAUCAAACUCUAACACUCUCACUUUCUCACAUUUCCAUUGGUGCAACAUCCUGAUCACCUGCACCACCUUGUUCUGCAGCAGCAGCUUCAGCCUCGGCCUCACCACCAUCCUCCUCUUCCUCGGGAACGUUCUCAAACGUAUCAAUCACCUUCUGUAUGCUAUCCUGGUCCAAGAAAUGGAAUGGUUCAUCGACUCCUAGAACAGAAACGGUGCAGAGCGAGCUCUUGAGUGUCUCCCCUUGCAAAGUUUCCCUUAUGGCCAAAAUAGCAUCUUUGAUCAGAUCUUCUCUUGAUGACUCAUUGAAGCUCUCGAAUCUUCGUUCUAGAUAAGUUUUCGCAGCUUGUGAACGUGACCCGAUGGCGAACGCUUGGUACUCAAAGUAGUUUCCGCUGGGGCAGUUGUAGUAGAGGUGGGCUCCUGACUCGUCCAGUCCCCCUACCAGCAAACCCACACCAUAAGGUCGUUUCCAUGACCGUUGGGUACAUACCUGCUCAGAAAAAAAGUAUGAAGAGGGUAAACACAAGAUCAACAAACAAGUUCAACGAUCAAUAAUACCAGAGUUUUGUUCAAAGUACAAGAUUAAUAUAUGAGGCUUAUGGUCAGAAAUCAACCGAGAAAAAUGUCAAUAGAGCAGCUAACUAGACCUGUUGAAGCUGUGAAUACAUUAUUAAACUUAGAACUCUAAAUUAGACGCCAAAGUGAACAUAUACCACAAAGUUUCUAUUGCAAUUGUAAAACAAGAUCGUACUGGACGAGCACAAGAGAGGGUGAGUACACACCACAAGUGAACACACACAAAGUAGCGCAAGUUGAAACCACAAAAACCAAAAAGAGAAGAGCGAAGACUGUAUAUCCAAUUUUGCUUACAAAAUUGAAGAUAACAAAAGAUGCAAACAGCAACAAACACAACUAAAGUAUAAAAGCAGGCACAUUCUUAUACAGUUAUAUUGCCUCAAGUUGAUAACUUGUACAGCAUUCCCUUGUUAUAUUUUUGUUGGUAAAAUUCAAUAUUCGAACCCAUGACCUCUAGCACAAAACUAUGUCACACUGUCUAAAGUCAAUCUCUUUUGUUGUAUGUAAAAUUCAAUAUUCGAACCCACGAACUUGAGGUUUGGAAUGUUAAAGUGUUCUUAUCACAAAGCUACUAUGGUCACAUUGGUCUAAAGGCUAUGUAUGUCUUUUUUGUAAAAUUCAAUAUUCGAACCCAAGACCUUGAGGUUUCAAACGUUAAAGUGUUCCUACUACCACAAAGCUACUAAAAAGGCUAUAUCUUUGUAACUCAAGAGGCGGCGAGAGGAGGGAAAGGAGUAAACCUGGGCCUUAUCAGCAAGACGAACGACGAGGCGGCCAACAGGGAGAGGAGACUCAUAGGUGAAAGAGUGAUUGAUGGAUUCAGAUCUCAUGUAACGCGAGAGCACACGGCCAUCGGCGGUGAGUCCAGCGAUGGCGACACCGAUGUGGUCAUCGACUUUGAAGAUCUUCCUUUGGUGAGAAGAGAGCUCCGACUGGGCUUUAUUGACGGAGGCGAGGACGACAUGGGAGCGAGAUCUGAGCCCGAUUGCGGCGGAGCCUUGCUUGACGGCUUCCAUGGCGUACUCUACUUGGAAAAGACGACCGGUGGGACUCCAUGUUGUCACGUCUGUGUCGUACUGGUUCCUGAACAUCCUUGCUUCUUCUUCUUCGUCUUUGUUCGUCAAAAGAGUGUGUAUAGAGAGAAAGACGCAGUGAAAGAGGAAAAGCUUUUCGUUUGGUUUGGUUUGGUUUCUCUUUGAAGGGACGUAGAUGGGCUCUUAUAAGACCUAGAUGGGCUUACAUAAAUCUAAAAUGCCCAUAGAAAAUAGAGCAAUUGGCGUGCAUUGCAGAAAAUCAUGUAAACAAAUGCUCAAGUCUUAUUUGAAACUGAGUAUAAUUGUGGUUAUUUACCAUUUAAUCAUUUCUCUUUCUUAUCGCUACUUCCUACUCCCUAGAGUUUAACUUAUAGCAAGAGCCGGCCUUGGAAACAAAACGAAGCUUGUGUUUCUGGCCGCCAAAUAUUAAGAUAAUAACCAGCCACAUAUGGACAGUAAAUUCUCAGUAGCAUAGUGGUUGGCGUGUGGUUACAAGUAUUACAGGGUAGCAUAUUACUUGUAGUUGGCUUUGCUUAUAGCAGACUAGUAAUAUUUAUAUAAUAUUUUAGUUAUAUAUUUAUCUCAUAUUUCAUUUAUAACUAGGUGUUUUUAGCACUAUGUGCAGUAAUAAUUUUUAAAAAUUUAAAUCAUCUUUAAAAUAAAUUUUAUUAACAUUUUAGAUUUUAUUAUUUUUACCAAUAUUUUAAUAUAAAUUUAAUUUAAUUAAACAUAAAAUUAAGAUAAAAUACUGUUUUCUUUAUUUUAAAUUAUAUUUAAGAAUAUAUAUAUAUAUGUAUAUUUUUAAAAUUUUAACCUUAGAUAUAUUUUUCACUCUAUUUUUUUUUUGGUUAAAAAUAUUAAUCAACUAUAAAAUUAAUAAAAAAAUGAUAUAAAAUUAUAUCAUUAUCAAAAAUUAAAACUAAACAGUAUUUAUAAAAUUUAUGGGUAUAUAAAAGAAACUAAUGAUACUAGGAUUAAAAAAUUAUAAGUUUUUUAAAAAUUGUAGAAAAUUUUACAAAAUUUAGUAAUAAAAAUUAUAUAAUUCUAAAAAGUAAAUUACAUAAUAUUAUGCAUAAGCCAUGUCAUCAACUUUAGUAGCUAUGUCUCAUUUUUUAUGUAAAAAUGAUUGUAGAAAAUGAUUGUACGUAGAGAGAACAUGUGAUAAAUCACUUCUAAAAUAAUGUCUAUGGGAUCUAAUUUUCUCUUUCUUUUUCAGGUGCUUUUGUUCGACAGAAUUACAAAAGUUAUAAUCACUACUGAAGGAAAAGAUGAAGAUGUUGUCCUUAAUAUGUAUGUAGUCAUCCUAUUUUUCUGCUCAUUUCGAUAUUUUUUUCUAUUCUCUAAGUAAUUUUCUUUCGCACCUCAUGUGAUCUUAGUACUUAUAAAAUCAAAUUUGUGUCUAUUUGAUAAAGACUGGAAGCAGUUAAAGGAGAGAGAGGAGCUGGCUGUGAAAGCCAAAAGGUUUGAUGAUAGUAAUGAUAUCAUAAAUUGUUUUGUUGAGUUUGAAUUAACUCAUUGUGCCGAAUUGGCUCAAUUUGUUUAAAAAAAUGAAGUCAAUAUAUUUUAGAUUUUAUAUAUAAGAAUGUUUAUUUUUACCAGGUAUGUGUUUUUAAUAAUUGAAGGUUGUGUAAUUUUAUAAAAGGAUAUCACUUACAUUUUUUAGUCUAAAUUACAUAUAAAAAUGAUGAUUAGGUAAAUUUGUUGAAAAAAUUAAGUAUAACUUGUAAGUUAAUAUCAAGUUGACAUGAAAUACUCUGAUUUAACCAUAUAUUCUAUUUAAAUAGAAAUCAACAUAACCUUUACUCUGACCUCAGUGGAUUCUUUCAUCAACGUAACUUCACGAACAUGGAAUACCAGACAAUUCUGUCUUUGGUAGAUCCCUAGGAUGUGAAUAUUAUUGAAAGUAUACCAUUGAGCUUGACUCGUAUAACAUACAGAGAUGGAUGUCAUUUUACCAAUAAUGGAAAAUACACUGUGAAAUAUGGAUAUCAAGUGGAACGAUUUUUUCCCGACAGAGAAAAAGCGCACUGAAGGCUUUUUGUUGGAAAGUAUGUUACUCCCUAAAAAUAAAACACUUCCUUUGGCAACUAGUAUCAGAAUGUAUAUAUAGCGGUUAAGAAAAACUUGAGAGCGAGACAUAUUCAGUGUGAUAUAUAUUGUGUCAGACAUAGAGCAAUUGAAGAAACAAUAAAUCAUGUGUUUUUUAAAUGUCCUCCAGCGGUGCAAGUUUGGGCACUUUCAUAGAUCCCAUCAAAUCAAUAUAUUUUUCCGGUUCAAUCAUUCUUUACAAAUAUGAAUCAUCUGUUUUGGAUAGUUUCUCCGCAUAUGGAAAACCAUAAACUUGCUUAGGUUUUAUGGUACAUUUGGAGAGGACGAAACAACAAAGUUUUUAGUAAUUUGGAUACUGAUCUGAGGGAUACUCUCAAAUUGGCAGAGACAAAAUCAUUACUUUGGGCAGAGGCUCAAGAUACUCUUACUCAGAGGGUCGUCCAAUCUAGGGAUGUAGAAGACUCAAUUUUACCUUCCAUACCGAGAAGAUGAUGUUUUACGGAUGGAUCAUGGAAAGAAUAUGAAAGUCAUUCGGGACACAGUUGGUAUAGCAUGCUUGAAGGCUUUCAUGAACUGAUGGGAGCAUGCAAUACCAGGGCCAGUCUUUCACCCCUUCAUUCGGAAAUAGAGGCGCUUAUUUAGGCAAUGGAAUGUGAGAGGAAUUUAAGGCAAUAUCAUGUCAGUUUUGCAAUGGAUUGUUCUCAAUUGGUGAAGAUGGUUUAUGAACCAGAAAAAUAGCCAGCCUUUGCAAGUUAUUUGGAAGAUAUCAAGUUCCUAAAAUGAUGUUUCAACCAUUCAGACCUCAUUCAUAUACCUAGAACACAUAAUACCAGGCCGAACAGCCUCACACACAGUGCGAGGAGACAACCAUCGUUCGUCGUUCAUAUGGAUGCAGAAUUACCAGCUUGGUUUGCAGAGUCUUCAUGAGUCUGUUUAUGUCGAUGACAAAAAAACAUAUUUGAAGAUGAUAUUUUAUUUCAUUUCACUUGAUAUUAGAACAAAUUAUAGUUAUAUAAUCUUAUAAAAGGAUACCAAAAGCAUAUUCGACCUAUUAUAUAGAAACAUUGACUUAUUUUGAGAAGCUUAAAUACAAAUCAUAGUAAAUAUGUACGUCAAACUAUCUGUACUCUGACAUUUCUAGAUCCUCCAUAAGUUAAUGUCGUUGUACUCCAACUUCUCUAGAUAUUCUACAUUUUUUUAUUUAUAAAUACCAGUUACUUGAUCAGUUGAUGGAUAUGUUAUUUUAUUAAAAGAUAUUUCUAAAAGUAUAGUUAUGUGAUUGCACUAGUGAUUAACCAUUUUUUAGAAAGCUUGUCAUGUAUGGAUUGUUGGAUGUAAAAAGUCUACCCGUACAAGGAAACAUAAAAGUAGCUCUCUAAAAAAUCACAACAACAUAAUAUUGAAAAGGUUGUUAGCUGGAUAAAACUUUCUAAGUACAACUAAUAUUAAUUUUAAUUGUACUUAAAAGGUUUUAUCUGGUUAACAACCCCUUUCAAUCUUAAUAUAGUUUUCAUUUGAAAAUUGUGUCAAUUUGAACAUUUUGAUGAUCAAUCAUGCGCAUUUAUUAAAAGAAGGAAAGCUCUAGAUGCAUGUAAACUAUUAUUUUUAGUAAAAAAUAGUUACAAGGAGAAAACACUUUGAACAUGUGAAAACCAAAUGUUUUUCUGUAAACUAAUACUAGUUUAUUAUAUAUGCAUGUAACAUAUCAACCAAUUUUUGUGUGCAGAAAAAUUGUUAGAAUUAGUGUAAGCAUCAACUAAAAAUAGUUUUAAUAAUCAUGGUCAUAUCCACGAGAUCUAACAUCUUCAUUAGUGGCUUCUCAUGUCAACAACUUUUCCUAUGCCACAAUCACUGGAACCACCCACCACCACCACCACCCAUUUUAAUAAAGCUAUCAUCUUUUUACAUUCUAGUAAGGAACCAAAAUUGCAUCAGCUUCUCCAUUCCCUUGAUCCCUUUCACUCUCAUCAAAGAGAUCUUGUUGCGGAUUCCCUUAUCAAUCAUCCUUUUAAUCACUGGUAGUGGCAAUAACUUAUCACCAUGCAUAAGCUUGUUACGCUCUCUCCAUACUGCAUACAGAACUUCUUGGAAAGCAUAUCUUAUACAGAAGAGGCUCAUCUUUUCUCUUUUCUCAUCCAAUAGAAUAGCCAAGAUCUCAGACCAGAUAACUGUAUAGGAGUCUCGUAAAAUACCUUUGGCUAUAAACUCCCAUAUCUGUGCAUAGUAAUCACUUUCGAAGAAUAAGUGACUCCUCGUUUCUGCAGCAUUUUUACAGAGCACACAUGUAGUGUCCAGUCCCUGGCUCCAUCUUGAUGCUCUGUCUAAGGUCGACAUUCUAUCUCUUAUCAACAACCACACCAUGAAUGCAAACUUUGGAGUUUCUUGAGAAAACCAUAUACCCCGAGCCCAAGAGCAUUGUGUCUUACUCUCUCUGAGCAACAACCAAGUUUCACUAGUUGAAAAUCUUUGUUUAAAUCCUGAUUUCCCUUUCCAUAGACUCACAUCCUUUCUCUCUUGAUUUAGCUUUCCCCCAAUAAUAAUCAACUCCUCCUCUAUUUCAAUGAGUAAACUCAUACGGUGUCAUGCGUCUCCUUCUAGUAUUUAACACAGCUUCCUCCAAAGUCGCAACCCUACUCACUCCCAAGUCGAUAAUGCCUCGAGGCCCUAGCAAAUCAAAGAGAGCUCCCUUAUUCGACCAGUUAUCAAACCAGAAAGAUAUAUGUCUUCCAUUACCCAGCUAUUUCUUGUGAAACAUCUUUGCAACUUCUCUAAGUUUCAAUAUUUUACGCCACAUCCAAGAUCCAUUCUGAGUAUUGACGCUUAAUUUCCAGAAACUUUUCCCUUUCAGAAAAUUUUCUUUGAUACAUUUACCCCACAGCGAGUCACCCGAUAACAUUAUCCAUAUCAACUUAAGGCCAUAUACCUUAUUAACUUCCUUUAGAUCUCUUAGUCCCAGACCACCUUCACUCUUCAUACUACAGACAUCUCUCCACGCUACUUUGGCAUUUGACGACUUAAGUAUUGGUCCUGUCCAAAGAAAUGUUGCGCAUUGCUCCACCUCUUUAAUACAAGCACUUGGGAGACUAAAUACUACUAACCAGAAGUUUGAUUAGACUCAUUAAAACUUGUUUUAUUAACUGCAGUCUACCGGCAUAUGACAAGAAUCUGCACGUCCAAGAGCUUAUUCUGCUUCUGAUAUUUUCCAGUAGCGAAAGAUAGUCUUGCUUCCUCAUCACUUGGGUCAUAAGGGGGAGUCCCAGAUACCUCACUGGAAGUUCACCUUCAGCAAAUGGGAAGUUAGUUAAGAUACUCCUUUUCUCUGCCUCCGGUACUCCUGCCAUAUAUAUUGUAGAUUUCUCUAGGCUAAUUUGUAACCCUGACCACUCUUCAAACUCAUCAAACACAGAAAGGGGCUCCCUCUAUAGACUUUUUAGAACCUUCAACGAACACCAUUAAGUCAUCUGCAAACAAAGAUGUGUUCUAGAAAGCUUCUUACAUCCCGGAUGUAGUUUGAACUUCUUAUCAGCCACUGCUCUAUCUAUUUUUAAAGAUUGCACGUUCAUAUAGAGAACAAACAAAUACGGAGACAGAGAACAUCCCUGACGAAGACCCCUCGAGCUUUGGAAAUAGCCAGCUAGAUCACCAAUGACUUGCAGAGAACAGGAUGGGCUUGUGAUACAUAGCUCAAUCCAAUGGAUAAACCUUUCCGGGAAACCCAAUACCCUCAAACUCUUCAGAACAAACUCCCAUUGCACCGAGUCGAAUGCUUUAGCAAUGUCAAUCUUCAUAACACACCUUGAAGACACUGCAUCCUUGUGAUAACCCUUAACAAGCUCAGAUGCAAGCAGCAUAUUCUCCAUGAGAAGUCUACCUUGUAUAAAAGCCGGCUGAGUCUUUGUUAUGAUUCUUGGAAGUAGCUUCUUCAGUCGAUUUGCCAAAAAAAUUGACACAACCUUAUAGAGUACGUUACAGCAUACAAUAGGAUGGUAAUCUUUCAUCUCCAUCGAAUCAAAUUUCUUAGGAACUAACGCAAGAAUUGUCGAAUUAACACCCUUUGGCAAAAACCCAAAUCUGAAGACUGAUUGUACCGCAACAAUGAAAUCCUGAGAUAUAACCGACCAAGCUGUUUUGAAAAACCCACACGGGUAGCCGUCUGUCCCUGGAGCCUUGUUGUUCGGCAUAGCAAAGAGAACUUUCUGAAUUCCAUCUUCAGUAACUUUUGCUUCAAGAAUACUACAAUCCUCAGAUGAGCAACGAAACUUUAGCAAUUCCUGUAACUCCUCCUCAGAUGCACCCUUGUAAUUCUCUGGCUUGUGAUUUAGAAAUUCUGAAAAAAAAAUUCUCUGCCUCUUGCUUUAUCUCUGAAUGUUUAGUCACCACUCUUCCAUAUGUACAUCUUAUCUCCCUGAUCAUGUUCUGAGCUUGUCGGGUUUUGAUAGCUCGAUAAAACGUCUUAUUAUUCUUAUCUCCACUAUCUAGCCAAUGUAGCUUCGCUUUCUGCUUUAAGUAUUCUUCUUCUAGACUUGCCACAUGUAGGCAUUUACCAUAUGUUUAUGCCUCCUCUUUGACAGAUGCUUCGCUCGGAUUUGCUAGUGUGUUACUCUGCUUCACACAUAGCAGAUCAUACGCCUCUUUUGCUCGAAUUGUUAAGUUGCCCAUCUUAUCUCUUCCCAACUCACGAAUCAACGGCUUCAAAUGCUUUAACUUCUUUGAGAAUCUGAACAACGCCGAGGUAGAGUGAAACAGUCUUUUCGUUGUAUCCCAAUACCUCUGGACCAUAGGAAGAAAGUCAGGCAGGCUACCUAUCACAUUGAUAUACUUGAAGGGUCUUUUGACUUUCUCACUCGGAGGAAACAGUUGAACUUUGCACCUCAUGUGAUCCAAACAUCCCCCUGCUUCAAAAACUGCAUAAGCAUUACUAAAUCUUUGCAGACCCUCUUUAUUUAGUAAUACCCUGUCCAGCUUCUUGCAAAUUACUCCAUCCUCCCUCUUAUUACUCAUGUAAACUGUGGCCCUUGAUAAUGUCAGAGAGCUGACACUGAAGAACCAAACUCUGAAAGUCUCUCAUUCCACACGGGAUCCUACUCAUGUUAUCAAACCUCGAACUCUCAGCUCCAUCAAGAAUUUCAUUAAAGUCUCCCAUGAUCAUCCAAGCUUUAUUUUUGAAGCUAGGAGAACUAUGAUGAUGCACAAGAUCCUCCCACAAUUCCUUCCCACCCUCUACUUGAUUACUCACAUAUAUACAUCAGCAAUAGAACUUUUCUUCUCCUUUCAUCUCCACCAAACAAAUGACUAUCUGAUCAGAUUUAUAUACAGGCAUCAUACGAAUCGUAUCUCUCCAUAAUAACCAUAUUCUUCCUCCUUGGCUAUCUUCGUAAUUUGUUAUUGAUGACCAAUCUCCAAACAGUACUCCUCUUAAAAUCUUCCAUGCUUUCCCUUCCUUAACUCUAGUUUCCAAUAUACAACCAAACUUCAACUCCUUAUUAUAUUUACCCACUCUUUUACUAUGGAAUGCUUCAAAUCUUUAUUGAAUCCACGAACAUUCCAGAAAAAGCACGUCAUUUUUAAAGAUUUCACCGAGAAGACCUUUUACUCUUCGGCUGAACCUCAUGAGCCUUGGUCUUCUGAACUCUUCUUCCACCUCUUAGUUUUACUACCUUGUUUUUCUCUUCCAGGAUCUCAUCCUCCAACAAAUCUCCUUCCAAUAUAUUUGUAUUCUCCGCUUCCUCAUGUUCCUCACUCUCCACUUCCUGUGAUUCUUCUAGUUCACCCUCCUCAACUUCAUCUAUUGAAAGAACAUAAUACUUUGACGCCGAGAUUUGGACUUCACUAGCAUCUCUCUGCAGAGAAUUUUGCACUCUCCCUAUUUUAUCUGGUGAGACAAGUGACCAACCACUACCUCUCACCUGUUUUUCCCCAGUGCCUACCAUUUCAGCCUUAUUAACUUCUCCAAUAGAAUCAUCCUCCGAAAUGACUACCUCCCGGUUCUGUAACUCUUCCUCCUGUUUACUAUCUUUCUCCCUCAACCCUACUAUAGCUUCACUUCCCACUUUAUCACAAUUCUUCUCACCAGUUUCCUUCCCCUCUAUCUUCUUAUCUCUUUUCUUCCUCACACAAACCUUGUCUGUAUGUCCCCAUUUCUCGCACAAGUUACAUCGAGAAGGUAACCAUGUGUAAUAAAAUUCAGCAGUGAACUCCUUCCCUCCCAUUGUGAAAUCAAUCUCCUUAGGCAACGUCUUCGAAAUAUCAACAUUCACAAACACUUUCGCUUCUUCAUAUUUUGAACAAGACAUUGUCUUUGGGUGAAGACGAACAGGAAACUCCACAGUACUCGUCAUGAAGCUUCGAGCCUCCCAUGAGAACGUGUUCAGAGGAAUCUUUCUUAAAUGCACCCACAUUGGUAUAGCUUCCUCCUCCUGCUUAUCCUCUUCUACCUUAGGCGUCCAUUUCUUCACAACCAUAGGAACUCCAGCUAUAUUCUACAUUGGUAUAGUCUUCAUGGCUUUAGCUUUUGGCUUUUAUUAUUUCCUCUGUUUCUACGAUAGUUUCUUCUUUGCUUUCAACUGACCCCCAUAACCUAUGUUGCUUCCUGCUUAAUUAAAAAUCCAAUCAAUAUCCACCACUAAAUAGUCAAACUCUUACCGAGAUUGUCUUGUUGUGAACCUCAGCAACCAACCCAUGUGCUUGAUACCAUGUUAAAGUUCAUAGAAAGAACUUUAAAAACCUCAGCCUUCUUCUUAAUCGACAUUGAAAGAGCAUGAAAUAGUGUGUUGCAAGAGCUUAGCUUAAUGUAAACUUGAGUAGUAUCUGAGUUGAUGAAAAGCUGCACAUUUCUCACUUUGGUUUCUCUGACAUCCAAAUCAGUUGAGACCAAUAUAAAUUUCAAUGUGGUAUUAGUCAGGUAAUUGAAACCUAGAGAAGAAUAACACAUGAAAGGAGUCCAUCAGAGACAGAUAGGCUAAGAAUAACACAAAUGUUAAGUGUAGGCACAAUUCACACUACUUAACGCUUACACUUUGUAGUUCACCUAAAGGAUAAAAUAGGCUAAGAAGUGCCUCGUUGAAUGUUGUACCAGAUAUUUUCGGAUUAUUAACUGCAUAAAAAAGUUAGACACAUUUCCAAAGAGGAAAAGAACAUUACGAUGUAGUCUCUAUAUAUAUUUACAAAUGUCGUAUAUAGUAAAUACCAAGUAAUAUAGACAAAAACGAAACGGAAAGAAAAAGUUCUUGCGAUUCAUUUGGAGAAACAAACAUUGACACUAAGAGAAAUGGAUCUAAUAAAGUAAGAACCCUUAUCAUACAAUUUUGUUUUCCCUUGAAGUUCGGAAUGUAUAAACGGAUCUACGAAACCUUCAUGGUUAAGCUUCCCGUCCACCUUGAGGCGACGAAGUAGCAGUUCGUAAUAUGGCAUUCAAUCAAGGUUCCCACUACAUUUUCUUUAGUUCAAGCAACCGAUGUUAUUGGAUAACACCAACACAGAUUUUCGAGGUCUCUCAAAAUUGAACCUUUACCAGUUUUUCUUCUAAUAUUUUAUUUCAUCGAAACCAAAAAGGAAAGAAAAAGUUUUUGCAAUUCAUUUGGAGAAACAAACAUAUACAUGAAGACAAAUUCUAAAUAGAAAAAAAAACAAUAUUGGAUAAAAUAAAGGACCUUGAGAGCGUGAGGGGAUCACCAACAUCUGUCAAGCUCUGCAUCUAAGGUGGAUUGUUCUGUGUGGAUCCUAGAUCAGAGACAAUGAAUCAAAUCCAAAAAUCGGUGAAUAAAGUCAGCGGUUAAUCUUGAGAGCGACAACGACGGAUCUGGAAGUUCUGAUGUUAGAGACGACGAAUGGGCUUUAUAAAACAAAAACCAGACAUCGAAUAUAAGCAAAAGCCCAAAAAAAAUUAUAAACCUAAACAAAUAAAAUGGUGAGUUUUGUUAAAGCGGACAGGUGUCGCUCCCAGAACGCACGACUUAGUGACAUGGCAGCACCAGGAGGGAGCAAACAUCUUUUUAUAUAAUGGAUAAAAGAAAGGACCUUGAGAGCGUGAGGGCAUCACCAACAUCUGUCAAGCUCUGCAUCUAAGGUGGAUUGUUCUGUGUGGAUCCUAGAUCAGAGACAAUGAAUCAAAUCCAAAAAUCGGUGAAUAAAGUCAGCGGUUAAUCUUGAGAGCGACAACGACGGAUCCGGAAGUUCCGAUGUUAGAGACGACGAAUGGGCUUUAUAAAACAAAAAGCAGACAUCAAAUAUAAGCAAAAGCCCAAACAAAUUAUAAACCUAAAUAAAUGAAACGGUGAGUUUUGUUAAAGCGGACAGGUGUCGCUCCCAGAACGCACGACUUAGUGACAUGGCAGCACCAGGAGGGAGCAAACAUCUUUUUAUAUAAUUAGAUAAUUAGAUAUGCAGAUUCACUUAUCCACAAUAUGAUGUACACACAUGUUCAAACUCACUUUCCACUUUGUUUUAUCCAUGCUCAGGUGUCCAUUUUGUUUUGUCCACUCUCACUCAAACUUCAAUUUUAGACUAUCUACAAUGAGCUAUUGAAUAAUAAAAAAAAAUCAAUAGUUGAAAAGACAAUGGUCUAUUGAAAAACAAGUUGAAUCAUACUUAUAUUAAAUAAAUUUGAAAGAAUUUAACAAUGUUGAAUCGGUAAAGUGGAGCCAGAGUGAAGCCAUCAAUGACCACCUUUCAUGAAGUUAUUGGCUAUAGAGAUUUCUGAUUUGUUUUUCGUCUGAAUUAAUUGAGAUAAAUUAUUUCAUUAAAUAAUUUUGAAAAAAUAUAUUUUUACACCAAGAUUAUCAUGUUUCAUAUUUUAUAAAUAGAGACUUGCUCCAUUUAAUUUUGAAACAAAAAAAACUUAUCUAUUUCUACUAUAUUUUCUAGUAGACUACAAUAAACUCUUGUUUAUAUAUUUUCCCUUUUUCAGUGAAAUGAAUCCCAAAAAUAACUUUUUAACACCCAAAGUUCUACUAAUCAUCCUUUUAACUAUCCAAAUCCAACAACUAUCAGUUUUAAAAUAUUGGAGAAAUGAAUUGGUGCAUACGACAACGCUAAGUGUAUGCAGCAAGGUAUUAGUCGAAAAUGAUAUAUUGGCGCAUGAGCUAUAUUAGAGUGAUAAGAAUGGGCAUUUUAUUUAAUGUCAGAAUGAUGGCUCGCUGUCUGUGAUCAACCACGUUAUGGUAGUCAAGUAUGAGGAAAUACUGGUUUUGGAAGCAGUGGAUUUAAGAGAGCCCAUGAAAGUGAUGCUCGAAACUCCAGAUCUGUAAAAUUUAGUGCUCGUCCAAUGGGGAUGAAUGCAUAUAAGAAGAAAAAAAGAUAAAAAUAUGGGCUCUUACCAGCCUUGGAUGUGGUCAAUGAAAAUUUCAUUGAAUUCAAACAAAUCAAAGGGCAAUAGUUGUAACACUUGAAAAAAUUAGUCAUGUUGCAAAAGAAUUGAAACCAAAGGUGAAAAGAGGCAACCCAAAGGAAAGAAGAAGCAAACAAAUUAAUGAAAUAAAAGAUUCGGUCUACGAAUAUAAAGAUGUGGUUGAAGUCAAGUGAAAAGGUACAUCUCAGUAACAAGAGCAGAGAAAUGUCCCAACAGUUGAGCCACAAAUUAUUUGGAAAUUAAUUGUAGUCCCAAGUGGAUGUUUAUAUCAUGUCACUUCAUGCUUGUUUGUAUCAUGUCACCUCAUGCUUUAAUAAUGUUUGUUUGCUACUUUUUCUUUUAAUAAUGUAACAUGUGACUUUUGGCUUUUAUUGAGAAAAUCUUAUCCUCCAAUCACUCAACAUGCUUUAAGCAUUGAAUGUGGGGCAUAACAAAAGAAGAAAAAAAAUAACAUGCAUCGGACUUUACAUUUAGUUUUCAUUCAAACUUAAAAACGUAGAAUCAUUAACAAUAAUAAAAUAUAAAAGUACUUGCAUGAAGAAUAAACUUUUUUAUAAAAAUCUUUCCUACAGGAAAUGGUAAAAGAGUGGGUUGUCGACUCUGGGCACCAAUGCAUGUCUAUCUUUUUUUCUUUUUCUCUUUGUCUAUAAAAAUACUACACACUCUUCAUUUUCUUCUUUCAAAGGGCAUUCAUUUCAAAUGACAACUGCAUCUUACUAUUGCGAGAACCUUGCAAGAAACAACCCCCAUCCCCCUUCCGCCCAAUCAAGUACCAGUUGCUUCGCAGCGCGGGUAGCCUCAAAUCAAAAAUCUUCUCUACUCAUAAUUUUUUUUUAUUUUCUUGUUUUAUAUAAAAAUUUAAGAUGAAGUUUUAUAUUAUGUUUAACUGAUUUUUCAUAUUUUUUAAGGUUGUCUCAUAUGCUUCUUUCCACCAAACAAUUCAAAAAUCAGAUACAUUUUUUUUGUUUCUUCAAUAAAUUAUGAAACUUCUGAAUUUUUUAAAAUAAGUUAAAUUUCUAUUCGAUAAUACUCAGUAAAAAUCAACCUGUUAUUUACAAAUAUAUUAUAACAUAUGCAAGCAUUUCAAUCAUCUAUAUAAUUUUAAAUAUUAUCUAUAUAUAUAUAUAUUAGUUUUAUGAAUUUAUGCAUGUUAUUGAUAUAAAAAUAUUUUUUUAUAAUAAAUUUAUAUUUGUAUAGUUAAUUAAUAUUUUACAAAAUGAAAUAGUAAAUAUAAUUUUUAUUCGUUCAUAUAUGUACUAUAACACAUGCAUGUAUUUUAAUCUUAUGUAUAAUUGGUUUUUUAAUUUUUUAUCUUCAGUUUUCUCUUAUAUUAAUAUUUUAUUAAAUAUUAUGGUACAUAAUUAAUUUCUAUAGCGAAUUAUAAAUACUUUAAUAGGUAUAACAUUUGUUUAAAUCUUAUGUAUUGCAAUUUAAUUACAGUCAAUAAUUAUUACCCAUCCGUUUUGAUUUACUUGUUAUUUUAGAAAAUCACGCAGAUUAAGAAAAUUAAUAUUUUUUCUGUUAUACCCUUAUCAAUCAAAUUUAUUUACAAGUUUAGUUAUCUAUUUAAUAUUUUAAAUUAGUUGUAAGAAAUAAUUUUCUUGUCGAAUAUUUUGGCUCUUAGCAUUCUUCACCAAAUUAUCUUUAACUAUUAGUUCAAUGAAUUAAUUAAAUUGACUACAUACUCCUGUUAACAUCAAUAUAUUUAGAGGGAAACUAAAAUUUUUACGUUUAAUUAUACGCAAAAACAAAACAUAGUGGAGGCAAGUAAACAGUUCAAAACUUUUGACAAUCAGUAUAUAAACAAAUCGUGCGAUAACAAAAGUAUCAAUGGCUAAUUCUGGUCAAAACCUUUUUACAUUCAACAAAUAAAAAGCAUUAUUUUGAUUUAAAAAAUCGUGUGAUAACAAAAGUAUCAGUGCCAUUUUCUGUCAAAAAUAAUUACUGAAAAAAUAUAAAUAGGCUUGUUAUCUUUAGAUUAUAAACAGUCUGGGCAAUUUUAACAUACAUGUUGACCACAUUGGAAAAGAUAAGAAAAAUAUUUCAUUGUAGAAAAUGGCGGUUGAGAUGAUGUUAAACGAAGAUUUUUUGAAGUAUAGUUAGUUAAUUUAAAACAUUUUGUUAUUUUAUAUUAAAGUUAGAAUAGUUAUUUUCUUGUAUAAAUCAUAUUGAAAAACGAGAAUGACGCUUAAUUUGUGACAAAAAUCAAACCUAAAACGACAAGUAAAUCGAAAUGAUGGCAGUAAUAUAUAAUCAGAAAAAGAAACAUAUAAGAACGUAAAAUUAUGAAAAAAAAAUUGUAGGGUAUUUUUCAACAAACCAUUGUGAAAUAUAAAAAAUGAGUGGGUAUUGAAUUAUUAUGUAGACGAUAGAAACGAUGACGGGGAAGAGAGAGCAGAUAAUGUUGAGUGUAUGAAAUGUUGAAAUCAUUGUGGAUAAUGUUAGACUAUCUACAAUUGUGGGUAAAUUUACCACCCUCAUUUUUUUUUAUUUUUUAACACUCUAUAUCAUUUUCUCGUUUUUCCACCUAAUUAUUCAACAACAAUUUCAUUUUUAACCAUACAAUAGUUUUGUUUAAUAAAAUUCAACAUCAUACCCCAUAAUUUUUAAUUCAUAAGUUUUUAUUGUUUAUAAUUUAAACUAUAUUAAUAAUUUGAUUAUAAUUAACUUAAAUAAUUAAAGUAUCAAAGUUUUUACUAAUUUUUAUUUAUAUCCUUCACUAAGUUUUGAAUAUCAAUAGUACAACUAAUACUAUUAAAAUUCAACUAUGUUCUAAUUAACACACAAAAAAAAACUGCAAUAUAGUGAAAACAAUUAUUUUCUGGUGUCCAAAUCAAGGAAACCAAGUCUUUAUCUAUAGAAUAUAAAAAGUUAUGAAUUUUGAUAUAACUUAUUUUAAAAAACAUAUUAUUUGAUAUACAAUAAUUGAUCUUAAAAACUAUGGUGAAAUAAAAAUCUAUAAAAUCUAAACAACUACUAAUAUAAUGACAUGUGUACCAAUUCACUCAUUUUAAUUUUUUUUUAAAAACUAAAAAUUCAUUUUUGAUAACUUUUUAUUUAUUUAAGUGUGUCUUAUAGUGAUCAAGAUAACUUUGUGGGUUCUACUGUUGGCUCUUCCAACAGGUUGAAUCCACAUCAUAUUUUUAAGUUUUUCAACAGAUUCAUUGUGGGUAGUUUUACACCAUUAACAAUGAUUACAUGAUUCAACACCCUAUUUUCAUCUUUUUAACAUUCACAUCAUCUUCUCUCUCUCUUCCACACAAUCAUUCAACAACCACUUUAUUUUUGUAACAUCUACCAUAUUUUUGUUUAAUAAAUUCAACACUUUACCCACUAUUUUUUAAUUCAUAUUUUUAUCCUUUACAAUAUACUAACUAUUUAUUAAUAAUUUUUUAUUAUAAUUAAAAUAAAUAUUUAAAAGGACAAAACAAAUUACCAUUUUUUUCAAGUUGGAUAUUCAUAUAUUUUAAAAAAUAUAUUAUUAAAACAAAUGAAAUCAUUAAAAUUACUCAUACCACCAAGAGGUAUUGGCAUAGAUAAUUUAGAAAAAUCAGUUGCUACAAUAAUAUUUCAAAUAGAAAAAAAAUAAGGUGUUUGAGAAAAAUAAAUCAUCAUUGAUCGAUGAUAUGGAAGAUAGUUUGGAAAAAUGAAGACAUGAAGAAAUUUGGUGAAAAACCAUAAUUUGGUAUAUUUUUUGGUUAAUUGAAAAUUUAGUUUUGAAAUUGAUAAUUUUGGGGAUUUGGGUAAUUACAAAGAAAAUUAGAAGAAUUUCAGAUGUUAAAAGAAUUAUUAUCUCGAUCCAUUUAUCAAAAAGAAGAUUAAAAAACCAAAAUAGUUUAUUAGAGUGAAAAAUGACGUUUUAUUUUUUAUACCCAAAUGAAAUGAAAUUGAUCUCUAUUUAUAGAUCAUAACAAAUCACGAGUUUUUGUACAAUAUUUUUUAAAUGUUAUAACACCAAAAUAGUUGAUUAUAGUGAAAAUGACGUUUUAUUUUCUGUACCAAAAUUAAAUGAAAUUGGUCUCCAUUUAUAGAUCAUACAAAAUCACGAGUUUUUGUAUAAUAUCUUUUAAAUAUUUUAGUAUAAAAUAAAUGAGUUCAAAUUAUUGGGUAAUAUUUUUGAAAAAAAAAAGAAUCUGGAAAGCCACUGAGAAUCAGAUAUGUGUCUCUAUCUAAAUACAUCAUGAGUGUUAUACACGCGUCCAACAUUUUUUCUAAUUAAAAUUUAACAAGUGUCAAAGCUGCCCCAGAAAGAAAAAAAUUGGUUGAAUACUUUCAACUUUUAUGAAUCCACGUGUUUUAUUCCCAAAAUCAACACUCUGGUUGCACGUUGUUCAACAGUUGAAUUAAUAACUUAACAUGUUCACUUUGGAUAUUCUUAUAACAUUGGUUUCAUAUCUUGUUCUACAUCGUUGAUUCAUCACUUAUUCAAUAUUAACUUCCUGGUAGUCCAUUAAAUUAAGUCUCUAGUUUUUUUUGCAUAAAAUUUGAUAAAAUUUUGUGUCUAGUUACGACACAAUGUUCACAAAACUUUAUGAAUGUAUUACACAUACGAGCACAUUUAUGUUUUUCUUACAGAUAAAGACACAUUCCACUUAAGAAGCACAUUGUGUUUUAAUCAACGAGAUUUUUGACAUAUUUACCCUUGUUCUUGAAACAGAGUGUAGACGUUCCGUUAAUAAGACUACCUUUGUUUUAUUCCCAAAAUCAACACCCUGGCUGCACGUUGUUCAACAGUUGAAUUAAUAAUUUAACAUGUUCACUUUGGAUAGUCUUAUAACACUGGUUUCAUAUCUUGUUCUACAUCGUUGAUUCAUCACUUAUUCAAUAUUAACUUUCUGAUUAGUCCAUUAAAUUAGGUCUCUAGUUUAUUUUGCAUAAAAUUUGAUAAAAUUUUGUGUCUAGUUACAACACAAUGUUCACAAAACUUUAUGAAUGUAUUAAACAUACGAGCACAUUUGUGUUUUUUUUACAGAUAAAGACACAUUCCACUUAAGAGGCACAUUGUGUUUUAAUCAACGAGAUUUUUGACAUAUUUAUCCUUGUUCUUGAAACAGAGUGUAGACGUUCUGUUAAGAAGAAAUGAGAACAAUAAGUAACUAGUUAUAGCACUUGGGUAUUAAUAUUUUAUAUAAUUAUUAUAUACUACACUGUUUUAUGUAACGGAAAACAAACCAAAUGAAAAAGACAUAGUUUAUCUUUAUUAUUAUCAUUUAUUCUACCUCUUUAUAUUUUGUUUUACUUUAUUUUAAAUUUAAAGAUAUAUAAAAAAUGCUUGAUGUAAUAAAUUAUGUUCUUUAUUCUCUAUAAUUUGUCAUCAACUUUGAUAUUUUUAUUUUAAAUUUAUACAUAAAAUAGUAUGGACUAAAACAUGGACAAAGGAGUUGUGGAUAUGAACAUUCUGAUUGUGUACAUUCCAAAAAUGACUAAAUAGUUUUAUAUGUUAGCAAUUUGAAUAUAUAAAAACAUAAAUUUUUGUUGGAGAAACCAUGUGAAGUGAAUUACGUAUUUUAUGGAAGAGAAAUAUGGUCAUAUAUGUUGUGGAUAAAUAAAGAAUAUGGGUUCAUACAUUAAGAAGACCAUUCUGCAUAUUUAAGAAUUUUGAGGUAAAAGCUUAAAUAAUCAAAAGACAAGGGACCAACAAUGCAAAAAGAUAAAACAGCACCAUUGUUGGUCUCGAGACCUCUGGCUUCUAAUCAACUUGGGCGAGUGAGGCAGGAUGGACUCCGACUCCUUUCACCAACAUGUUAUCUCGGCUAUACUUUUUCGUAUAAACCGCAAAUAAAAACCGAUGUUGUUCUCCGUUAUCUCUUUCUCUCUCUUGUUACAGAUAUGGCUUCUCGCCACUGUUUCUCUCUUUCUCUAGUUUCUCAAUCUUCAACUGAAGCAAUCUGAAAAACCAUAAUAUGAAGAAUACUUGGGUAAAUGAUAUCUUGCAUAUUUACAUUGUCUUAUCCAUUUAUUCAUGUGCAUUUUCAUCAUAUAGAUUAGGAUUUAGCCAUGUCUAGGUUGCAUUUUGCAUACAUAUGUCUCUAUCAGGUAUUUGAGUACCACAUGGAGUUUCUGGAGACAUUUGGGUGCAUUUGGAGCUCAAAGGAGGUGAUUAGAGUGGUCUUUGGACGAGCACUGCCUGAAGCGACUUCUCGGAGCGACGGCAUGAGGUCGCUGUGCACCACAUCCCGGAGCGACUCAUCCAGAGCGACUGCACAAAGUCGCUCGCGUUUUCACAUUGAGGUUGUAGAAAAAUCCCUUGUAGAUUUCAAAAAGAAAGAGUUAAAGUUCUUAGGAUCUAUUGGUGAGAGAUGUGAGUUGGGUUUGACAUUUGGGAAUGAUUGUGUAAUUGUAUGUUUGGGAAAAGGGUAGAAUAAUGGAGAUUGAGCAUUGUAUGCAUGAGUUGGUCCCUUUCUUAGAUAUAUUAUGUGCAAUGUCAAGGCUACUUGUUUUGAGAGUAAACCACCUUAAAGAUCAUAUGUUUUGAACCUCUUGAAUCACUUGAAUAAAAGCCUUCCCUUUCCCAACCAAAUGACUUGGACCAACGGACCAUUUGCAAGAAUUCACCUGAUGUUUUCUGCUUAAUGAAUGUGAGAGUUGGUUGAUUUGAAUGUGUGGAUGCUUGAUGAUGAGUGUAGGGACAAAAGGAGUUGAGAUAGGCCUAGAGAAGCUAGAGUGUAAUAAGAGAGUGUGCUAAUUAUGUUUGCUAGUUGUGUUUCUUUUGGCUAUGAGCUCCCACCUUCAAACCUCUCUCCUUAUGAGUUCUAGAAAGUUCACUUGAGGACAAGUAAAAGAACAAGUUUGGGGGAGUUGAUAUCUUGCAUAUUUACAUUGUCUUAUCCAUUUAUUCAUGUGCAUUUUCAUCAUAUAGAUUAGGAUUUAGCCAUGUCUAGGUUGCAUUUUGCAUACAUAUGUCUCUAUCAGGUAUUUGAGUACCACAUGGAGUUUCUGGAGACAUUUGGGUGCAUUUGGAGCUCAAAGGAGGUGAUUAGAGUGGUCUUUGGACGAGCACUGCCUGGAGCGACUUCUCGGAGCGACGGCAUGAGGUCGCUGUGCACCACAUCCCGGAGCGACUCAUCCAGAGCGACUGCACAAAGUCGCUCGCGUUUUCACAUCCGGAGACACACAUUUUGAUCUCGGAGCGACCUUCCAGAGCGACGUGCUGAAGUCGCUCCCGAAGCUUGGAGCGACCUUACCAGAGCGACAGGGAGAAGUCGCUCGCCAUUUUGGUUCUCGGAAACACGAAAUCGCUCUCGGAGCGACCUCUCGCAGCGACCCAGCGAGGUCGCUCCCGAAGCCUAGAGCGACGUGCUGGAGCGACUUGCCGAGGUCGCUGCGCGUCGCCUAUCUGCUCGAAUUAAUGUUUUCUCAAGGGCCUUUUUGUCAUUUUAUUAUGCACGUUUUUUAUUCUGAAAACCUAUGUUUUAAUACUCUGUAAGCCACCAAGAGGGGAUUAUCUUUGUUCUUAGAAAAACCACCAAAAACCUUUGGAAAGUCAUCUCUUUGAAUCAAUUGAUCAGUUUAUUAUUGAGAAUUCUGUGUUCUUAUCUAUUUUUCCUGUGUUUCUCUACAUGAUUAAUCUGAAAUCCAACAUGGGUUUAAGAGGAAUCAUGGAGAUUAGUGAGUAAUCCCUUUUGAAUUCAUGGGUUAGGGAGAUUGAGGGUGAUUAGGUUAGAACUAGGAUGUUUUAGUGUAGAUCAUUCAUAUUUCCUUGCUAGUUGAGUGAGCAUAAUGCAUCUUCUGAGUUGGCCACUCAGUAGUUGAAUCUUAGGCAUUUCCCCCCGAAAGGUGUUCGAGGAAAUGCCCGAGACAACUCUUUUUAGCUUUUAGCAUACUUUGCCAAAGACAUUUGUUGUUAGAGGUGCUAAGAUAGCCAUUGGACUUGCUGGUUAUGAUUGCUUUCAUAUUAUUCAACCAAAGACAUUUGAUGUUUGAAUUGUGUUAAGUAAAUGAACAUUCAUCUAGACAUAGAGUUUGUUUAGGAUUGUGUCCAAGCUUAAGGUUAAUAGAUUGAUUGAUCGUUUGCCAUCUUUAGUUCGAAACUUGAUCACCCGAGGUCUAAUCCCUAUAUCCAUGAGUUCUCUUUUCCAAUAGUUAAGAAAGUAUCAUUUAGUUAUUUCUUUUAAUUAGUCAUAGUUUAAAAACCCAUCUAAAUCAUUGAUUGCACUUAGAUUAAGUGAUUACUUGCAUUCUCGGUGCUUUGAUAUCUCUCAGAACUGGUUCGACAAUCAUUUAUACUACAGCAUUUGUCUUAGGAGCCUUGAAAACUCCUAACAUCAAAUUGGCGCCGUUGCCAAAUUCUGAGUAGAUUUAAACAUUGAGAUUUAGUCAAUUGCUUGAGACUAAGUCAUUUUUAUUUUCUUUUGUUACUGACUCUUCUUCACCUCCCUUUAAUCUACAGGUGUAUGAACUUGCGGAGCAGGGGUCCAUCAAACCUAGUUCCAAGAGCAGCAGACAUCAGAGCUUUAGAGAGAGAGUGUGCUAAAAGAGAAGAGAAGAAGAACAUCAGGCUCAAUUGCAGAGACUGAACACUGACAUGGGAGACGUUCAUCAAGAAGAUGCAGGCGUCAAUGGCGCUAACAACAAUGGUCCACCUAACCAACAGCGAGCAGCUCGACCCAUUGGCACUUACGACCGUCCAAACAUUCAUGGUCAUAGAUUGGGAAUCCGAGCACCCGCUGUGGCAGCCAACAACUUUGAGAUCAAGUCAGGACUCCUCAACGUGAUUGAGAACAACAAGUAUCAUGGCUUGGCUCUAGAGGAUCCAUUUGAUCACUUGGACAGGUUCGACAGCUACUGUGGGUUGUCAAAAACCAAUGGUGUGUCCGAAGAUGCUUUAAAGCUCAAGCUAUUCCCUUUCUCUUUGGGGGAUAAGGCACGUCAGUGGGAGAAGUCUCUACCCAGCGACUCCAUUACCACUUGGGAUGACUGCAAGAAAGCAUUCUUGGAGAAGUUCUUCUCUACUUCAAGAACUGCUAAGCUGAGAAACGAGAUCUCCAGCUUUCAACAGAAGGGCUUGGAAGGUUUCAGUGAAGCCUGGGAGAGAUUCAAGGGCUACCAAGCUCAAUGCCCACACCAUGGUUUCUCUAAGGAGAGCUUGCUGAGCACAUUCUACCGUGGUGCUCUCCCUAAGUACAGGGCCAGACUGGAUACAGCUAGUAAUGGGUUCUUCUUGGGGAGAACUGAGGAGGAUGCAGAGGAGCUGGUUGACAACAUGGUUAAGAGUGAUGCAGUCUACAGUGGAGACCACGACAGAGGCAGUAGAACUGAUGAUAAGCAGACGAGGAAGGAAUUGAAGGCUCUACAGGAUAAGAUAGACAUCCUCAUUGCUGAUAAAGCUACCCAAGAGCAGCUGCACUUUGUUGGCAACCCAAGCCAAGAGACACCAGUUGUUGUCCAUGAAGUUGAGGGUUUGGAAGGUCAGGAAGAGCUGUGUUUCAUCAACAACAAUGGUAGCUGGUACAAGAAAGAACCCAACUUUCAGUACAACAACUACCAACAGAAAUCCUAUUCCAACAACCAACAGAGUGGUUAUCAGCCUCGGAACAAUCAGCAAGGCAGCUAUCAACCUCAGCAAAACCCUCCUCCUGGAUUCAACAACAAGGGCAACCAUUCUUCCCAACAACAAUCUAAUCCCUCUACCUCCACUCCUCAAGUCAGCAGCACUGAUGCUCUACUGAAACAAAUCCUGGAGUCUCAAACAAGAAGUGAGAAGCAUGUUGGCUAUGAGUUGAAGAAUCUUCACUCAAAGAUUGAUGGGAGCUACAAUGAGCUCAACAACAAGUUCAGAGCUUUGGAGAACCAGUUUGCUGCCAUGAACACUCAACAAAAUCGCCAACAAGGUUCUCUACCUGGAAAAUCUGAGCAAAACCCCAAGGAAACCAUGAAAGCUAUCACUCUCAGGAGUGGUAAGGAGUUACCUCAGAGAACUCUCACCAAGGAUGCUGAGAAACAAAGUGAGGGGGUUGCCAUCACCAUAGAUGAUGAAGUGGUGAUUGUUGAUGAGAAGAUCAAUGACGAGAUCUUGGAAAAGAUAGUGGAAGCAAAAGGAAAAGGAAAGGUUGGAGAAGAGAAGAAAACAGUUAAAGAUGGUGAAGUUGUCACUCCUGCAAGUGAAAACUCUUUUGUUCCUCCUGCCUAUGAACCCAAGCUUCCAUUCCCAGGUCGAUUCAAGAGGCAGCUGCUAGAGAAGUACAAAGCUUUGUUUGACAAGCAAAUGAGUGAAGUCCAGGUCACAAUGCCCAUUAUUGACGCUUUCAUGCUGAUCCCUCAGUACAGCAAGUUCCUCAAAGAUGCUGUAGCUGCAAAGAAGAAAGAGAUGGAGGGCAUGGUGAUUCUCACUCAUGAGUGCAGUGCUAUCAUUCAGAGACUGGUCAUUCCAAAGAAGCUAGAAGAUCCAGGAUGCUUCACAUUACCUUGUGCUCUUGGACCUAUGGUAUUUGAUAGAUGUCUCUGCGAUUUGGGAGCUAGUGUCAGCUUGAUGCCCCUAUCUGUUGCUAAGAAGCUGGGUUUCACUCAGUACAAGAAGUGUAGACUUUCUCUGGUAUUGGCUGAUCGUUCAGUGAAGUACCCUGUGGGUAUCUUAGAGGACCUCCCAGUGAUGGUUGGAAAUUAUGAGAUCCCUACAGACUUUGUGGUGCUUGAAAUGGGUGAAGAAGCUCAAGAUCCUUUAAUCCUUGGAAGACCUUUCUUAGCCACAGCAGGAGCUAUUGUUAAUGUUAAAGAAGGCAAGAUUGAUCUCCAUCUGGGUAAAGGGCACGUUCUGCAUUUCGACAUCAAGGAAGUAAUGAGGAGGCCAACAGUUCAAGGACAAGUGUUCUACAUCGAAGAGAUGGAUGCCCUUGCUGAUGAACUCCUUGAAGAGUUGUCACUAGAGGACCCUCUACAGCAUGCUUUAACUGUAGAGAAGGAGACUGAGGUGAUUGAGAACCUGGAGAGUACUGCCUAUGGGAUGAUGCUGGAUUCACACCAGGCGUUUUUCAGUAAGGACCAGUACGAGGAGCUUCCACAGAUGGUUCACCAACAAGUCUCAGUCACUCAACAAGAGGACAACCAGCAGGAUGACUGGAGUGAACUUAAGGCACCUAAAGUGGAGCUUAAACCUCUUCCCCAUGGUGUAAGGUAUGCAUUCCUUGGUCCUAAUGAAACUUACCCUGUCAUUGUGAGUAGUGAACUUACUGAAAAUGAGCUAUCUGAACUUUUGAAAACACUUAAAAGAUUUAGAAAGGCAAUAGGUUACUCACUAGAUGACAUCAAGGGGAUAUCACCCUCUUUGUGCAUGCAUAGGAUACAUCUUGAGGAUGAAUCAAUGACUUCUAUCGAGCAUCAAAGAAGGUUAAAUCCUAACCUGAAGGAUGUUGUAAAGAAAGAGAUUCUUAAACUCCUAGAUGCUGGUGUUAUUUACCCUAUCUCAGAUUCUAAAUGGGUAUCACCUGUGCAUGUUGUACCAAAGAAAGGUGGUAUCACUGUGAUCAAGAAUGACAAGGAUGAAUUGAUACCAACAAGAACCAUCACAGGUCAUAGAAUGUGCAUUGAUUACCGAAAACUAAACUCUGCAUCUAGAAAGGAUCAUUUUCCACUACCAUUUAUUGAUCAGAUGCUUGAGAGACUUGCAAAUCACCCAUUCUAUUGUUUCCUUGAUGGGUACUCAGGAUUUUUCCAAAUCCCCAUACAUCCCAAUGAUCAAGAGAAAACGACAUUCACAUGUCCCUAUGGUACCUUUGCAUAUCGAAGAAUGCCAUUUGGACUAUGUAAUGCUCCAGCCACCUUUCAAAGGUGCAUGAUGUCAAUUUUCUCUGAUCUGAUUGAGGAUGUUGUGGAGGUAUUCAUGGAUGAUUUCUCUGUCUACGGAUCUUCGUUUUCUGCUUGUUUGUCAAAUUUGUGCAGGGUCCUACAGAGAUGUGAAGACACCAACCUUGUGCUGAAUUGGGAGAAGUGUCACUUCAUGGUCAAGGAAGGGAUUGUGCUAGGACACAAGAUUUCAGAGAAGGGGAUUGAGGUGGAUAAAGCCAAAAUCGAUGUUAUGGUUGGUCUGCCUCCACCAAAGACAGUGAAAGACAUCCGGAGUUUUCUUGGUCAUGCUGGAUUCUACAGGAGGUUCAUCAAGGAUUUCUCCAUGAUCACUAGACCUUUGACCAGACUGCUGUGCAAGGAAGCUACCUUCAGUUUUGAUGUAGAAUGUCUACAAGCUUUCAAGAAGCUGAAAGGUGAACUCGUUAGUGCCCCAAUUGUCCAGCCACCUGAUUGGGAUCUCCCUUUUGAGAUCAUGUGUGACGCCAGUGACUAUGCUGUGGGAGCUGUUCUGGGGCAGAAGAAAGAUGGCAAAACCCAUGUGAUCUAUUAUGCCAGCCAAACCCUCAAUGAUGCCCAGAUGAAGUAUGCCACAACAGAGAAGGAGAUGCUGGCAAUUGUUUUUGCCUUUGAGAAGUUCAGGAGCUACUUGGUUGGGUCUAAAGUCAUUGUCUACACAGAUCAUGCCGCCUUGAGACACCUUUUGGCCAAGAAGGAUGCAAAACCCAGGCUUUUGAGGUGGAUCCUUUUGCUCCAAGAGUUUGAUAUGGAGAUCAAGGACAAACCUGGAGUUGAGAAUGGAGUAGCUGAUCAUUUGUCCAGGUUGAGGGUAGAGUCUGGUAUCCCUAUUGACGAAGGACUUCCUGAGGAGCAGAUCAUGGCUAUCGAAGCAGUGAUAGCAGUUUGUGAGACUGGUAGGAAGCUGGAAGAAGUCAAAGCAACAGAGGAGAAGGAACCUUGGUAUGCUGAUUUGGUGAACUACCUAGCCACAGGAAGAGAACCUUUGAAUCUUGUAGGGUAUGCCAAGAAGAAGUUCUACAAGGAUGUGAAAAGAUAUUACUGGGACGAACCCUACCUCUACAUUCUCUGCAAAGAUCAGCUUUAUAGGAGAGUGGUUGCAAAUGAGGAGAUUGAUGGGAUCCUUGCACAGUGUCAUGGAUCAUCCUAUGGAGGUCACUUUGCCACCUUCAAGACAGUUGCAAAAGUAUUACAAGCUGGAUUCUGGUGGCCACACAUGUUCAAGGAUACACAAGACUUUGUUUCGAAGUGUGAUUCUUGCCAAAGAAGAGGAAACAUCACCAAGAGGAAUGAGAUGCCUCAAAAUCCAAUCCUUGAAGUUGAAGUGUUUGAUGUCUGGGGUAUUGACUUCAUGGGACCAUUUCCAUCAUCUUUUGGCAACAAAUAUAUCCUUGUGGCUGUUGAUUAUGUCUCCAAAUGGGUGGAAGCCAUUGCAAGCCCCACCAAUGAUGCUAGAGUUGUAAUCAAGAUGUUCAAGAGCAUCAUCUUCCCAAGGUUUGGAGUUCCAAGAGUUGUAAUCAGUGAUGGAGGUUCCCACUUCAUUAACAAACUGCUUGAGGGACUUCUCAAGAAGAACGGUGUGAAGCACAAGGUGGCAACUCCUUAUCAUCCCCAAACAAGUGGCCAAGUUGAGAUUUCUAACAGGGAGAUCAAAUCUAUCCUGGAGAAGAUUGUGGGGAUUACAAGGAAGGAUUGGUCUAAUAAGCUUGACGAUGCACUUUGGGCUUAUAGGACAGCGUACAAGACACCACUGGGUACCACACCUUUCAACCUAGUGUAUGGGAAAGCUUGCCAUUUGCCAGUGGAGCUUGAGUACAAGGCACUAUGGGCAAUAAAGUUGCUGAACUUUGACAUCAAGAGUGCCAAGGAGAAAAGGCUCUUUCAGCUACAUGAGCUUGAUGAGAUAAGAUUGGAUGCUUUCGAGAACUCAAGAAUCUACAAGGAGAAGACUAAGGCUUUCCAUGACAAGAACAUCCUGAAGAGAGAGUUUAAAGAAGGAGACCAAGUUCUUCUCUACAACUCUAGGCUGAAGUUGUUUCCAGGAAAGCUUAAGUCAAGGUGGUCCGGUCCUUUCAAGGUCAAGGAGGUUAGACCAUAUGGAGCAAUAGUUUUGUGGAGCACUGAUGGAAGAGACUUCACAGUCAAUGGACAAAGGGUUAAGCUCUACAUGGCUACUGCACCAGAGGAAGAUGGGGUUUCAACUCCACUGUCUGAUCCUACCCCGGCCUAAUCUAAAAGGAGGCAAAGUCAAGCUCGGGACUUAAAACAAGCUCACUUGGGAGGAAGUCCCAUGCGUAUCCUUGUACAUAUUGCAUUGGUAUUUCCAUUUUUCAUCUUAUUGCAUAAAAAAAAAAAAGAGAGAGAAGUUGUGUGCAGGUGCUUGAUCGGUUCAUUUUGAGCAGGAGUCGUGCGUGGGAGCGAGGUCUCACAGCGACACCUCAAGGUCGCUCCAGCUGGGAGCGAGGUUUCGAGAGCGACACUCCAUGGUCGCUCGCGUUUUCGUCGUCGGAUCAAGAAAAAAUCGCCUCAGAGCGAGGUCUCGGAGCGAGGCCGAAGGGUCGCUCCAGCUGGGAGCGACAUUAUGGGAGCGACACCUCGGAGUCGCUCGCGUUUUCGACGAAACGGAGCUCAAAAACUGACCCGGAGCGACGUCCUAGAGCGACACCUUGAAGUCGCUCCAGCCCAGAGCGAGGUUUCUAGAGCGACACUUCAAGGUCGCUCGCGGUUUUGUCGAAACACGACGCGAGGAAACGACUCGGGAGCGACCUCUCCCAGCGACACCCUCACGUCGCUCCCGAACCGGUCCAGGUAAGUUUCCUAACUCUAAACCCCGGUUUAAUUCAAGUAAACCGACCCUAACCACCCUAAACCGAACCGGACGACCCUAAACCUACCCCAACCCCCGCGACUCCUAUCUCUCUCACUCUCCCCUCCUCUCACAAACUCACAAACUCUCUCAAACUCACCCACACCAAAAAUCCCAAAACCUUCUCAAUUCUCACCCAAAUCAACUAGUUCUUGUUUCUAAACCAAGCUUUCGCCCCUGUAGCCUAUUCCUCACCACCCAUUCACCAUUUCCUUUCAUCCAGAGCAAGGUAUUGAGUUUUUAAAUUCAAAUUCGUAGGUCCAUGAACCCUAGAAUUUGAAAGUCGAAAUUUGGUCACUUUCUUGCUAGAUUGUGGUGAAAUAGACUAGGGAAAGUUUAUCUAUCAAGUUGGGUUGUUGAAUUAAUGGUGAAAUUGAGUUUAAUUUGCACUUUGGCAAAAUUAGGGUUCAUGGAAUUAGGGAUUUUCGAAUUUGACCUUAAUUGGGUGAGUUUGUGGGUGAACUAGAUGUGUUAAGGUGUUACAAGAGUGAGAAUUGUUGCAUUGUGUUGAACUUGAGUUUAAAUUGAUAAUUCAUUUGUUAAGUUCACUUUUGCAAUUUUCUCUUGCAAAAUCCUGUUUUUCUUUACUUCCAACUACUUAUCCCUUUUCAAGUUUUUACUUCUUCAGGUGAAAAUGGUUAAGAAGACAAAGGGAAAGUUGGAAGCUGAGAAGCAAGAAGCUGAAAGAACAGAGUUUGCAUUAAGAGGAAAAGCUUUAUCCUGCGAGCCAACUGGGUCAGGGACGCAGAGAACCGUUCGACAGCAGACUUUGGCUGCAAGGAAAUCGCAAGAACAAGAGAAGAGGGCUGGGAAAAGUGUAGCAGUUCCCACUCAUGAGGAGAGUGAAACUGAGAGUGCUGAUGAGCAGGCACCUACGAAGAAAGCCAAGAUGUCCAAAGGAAAAGGGGUUGCUGUUGAUCGAGACAGGGCAAAAACUCCAUCUGUGGAGGAGCUGUAUGAUCACUUGAAGAAUGGGUCACUUGGGCUCCAACCAGGUUCGCCGACCUCGAUUUGCUGAAGGAGUUGGGCCUAGAAUCCGAUAUUGAGGCGAUGCUGGGACAUUUGAAGAUGCCAAAACUCCUCACCAUGGCUUAUCCUUUCUACAAGGAUGUCACUUGUCAGUUCCUAUCCUCUCUUGUGGUCACUUACCACGACACGGCGCAUGUGAGGCAAGGAUGGGGAAAAAUCACGUUCAAGGUCAAUGGAAGGGAAUACAACAUGAACUUCAAGGACAUUGGGAGGGUCAUGGGGUUCCAAGACCUAGAAGACCACUCACUUCCCAAGUGUGAGAACCUCCCCACAGAGCUUUGGAAGUUGAUCACUGGAAACAGGCACUCUACCGGGGCUGACAAGAACUCACACAUCCGACACCCGUCUGUACGCUACCUCCACAGAUUGCUAGUCCAUGCUUUCUACCCACGGAAGCAAGCUGGUAAUGUUACUGAGGAAGACAUGCGACUGCUCUGUCCGGCUAUCCGUCCUUACGCUCAACCUGGAGUGUUACCCCUUCCCAGCACUGAUAUCUAUGCUACCUUUGGGAUGGUCAGUUUCUUUGUGGGCCGUCUCGAACACUACAGAGACUGGGCGUGGUACACCACUGAUUCGCGCCCAAAGAUGGGGAUAGGCGGAAUGAUCACACCACUGCUCCAAUUUCUGAAUGUUCCCUUGGGAAAGGACGCAGCGGGGCCUAGGUUCAUUGAUGGCACCUACUUGAGGAUUGCCACCUAUUUCAGUGGGAUGUAUGGGAAGGACUACGUCUACCACUACUACUUGCAGGGCAAGCCAGUCGAGGUGGUUCUUCCAAACCGGAACCUGACGAGUUUAGAGAUACCAGGAGCUGUCAGCUUCAACAUUCCCCAGGAGUACUUUCUCGGAGAACACGGGCCUCUCGAUCCAAUUCAAGCAGCUUCAUCAAGGAGAAGGAGUGUCCCUACGCAACCUGACCCGCCUGUUGCAGACACGUCUGAGCAUAUCUAUGGACCUCCGCGCUACUACUUCAAGCCCCAUGACGGAGUCCUUCCCCCUGGAGCUCUCCGUGAUGCUCAUGACCACAUUGGUCGUCUCCAGAGGUGGAACAAAGCUCAGGACAGAACGAUAGAAAAGCUGAAGGAUAAGUGCAAGGCGCUCAGCAAGACUGUGAAGAAGCAGGCAAAGACUUCAGCCAAGUUCAUGAAGAAAGUAGCUGAUGUCUUAACUAGGGGAGGAAUAGCUGGAUGUAGCUCAGCCGAUUUCGCUUUCGCGAACACCUCAAACCCCCAGCCCCCACCCCCGCCUGAUGCUCUUGGCUUCCCCCUCACUGCUGCGCAGCUUCAGCGUAAGUGGAGGAACCCACCCACUCAACCUUCCACUUCCGGCAACAAAUCCCCAUCCCUCGCUUCUUCUGACAGUGAGCACGAGAUUGACGAGGUUGAGAGCCAGCCAUGGUAUGGAGGCUCCGGUUCAGCAUCCGGUGGUUACUACACCACCUUCCCUCCUGACGACGACGAUGCUGGGGCAUCUGCCCCCACCUAUUAUCCAUAGGAGGUACUUCUUUCUCUCCCUUGUAUAUACCAUCUCAUUUUUUUUUUUUUGCAUAUUAGUUUUCUUCUCGGUAUCUCCUUCUUUCUUUGACAACACAGAGACUGUGUAACUCAAGUUUGGGGGAGGUACCAAGCAUUUGAUCACGUUUGCUUUGAUUGUGUUUCAUUUGAGUCAUGCAUUGCACACCUAUUUGCAUAAAAAAAAAAAAAAAAAAGAUUUUUCAUUUAGUUUGCAUCAUUUGCACCAUUAGGAGAGUCUAGAGCAUAUAGGGUGCAUUCACUUGCAUUGGGAGCAAUGAUUUUAAAUGCCUUGUAAAGAACACUACGUUGCACCAUUGAGUAGCCAUGCACCUCUCGAAAAGACUUGUAUGUUUCGAGCCUUGAAAACUCUUCUUGAAACUUGUUGAUUGCUGAAACUCAGUCUUUGAAGCCAACUACAACCUUAUUAGAAAUGAAUGAACUUAAUGCUUCUUGCUUAGGGUCCCUUGUGUACUGAGUCAUGGCUAUACACACUGGAGUUGUCACAUCUUUUAUGCCAAUCUUUUUGACAAACUCUAGUGGUAGACCACUCCCAAAACCUUUCCUUCCUUUUAAGCUUUCAUUGUUUGAUGAGUGAGGCCUUCUUCGGAAAGUCUUACAUGCGCAUAAUGUUGAGAGUAUCGGGAACGACAAUGCUUGAUCUUCAUUUUUGCUAGAUUGGACACUCUUUUGUCUAGCUAUAGGUGGGAGGGUGAGUGUUGUGAUCAUGAUUUGGGAGAAAUGAAAAAUAAAAAGGAUAGACUCUUUGUGCUUAAGUGAAUUGAUUUUCUGGGAUAAGUAGAGAACCUCUAGCUCUAGUUUCGAAAAGUCUUGGCCCCCAACCUAAAAAAAAAAAAAAAAAAAAAAAAAAAAAAAAAAAAAAAAAAAAAAAAAAAAAAAAAAAAAAAAAAAAAAAAAAAGGGGGCUAGCAAAGUUGUUAGGAGCUAAGAAAUGUUUUGAGGUUGUAGAAAAAUCCCUUGUAGAUUUCAAAAAGAAAGAGUUAAAGUUCUUAGGAUCUAUUGGUGAGAGAUGUGAGUUGGGUUUGACAUUUGGGAAUGAUUGUGUAAUUGUAUGUUUGGGAAAAGGGUAGAACAAUGGAGAUUGAGCAUUGUAUGCAUGAGUUGGUCCCUUUCUUAGAUAUAUUAUGUGCAAUGUCAAGGCUACUUGUUUUGAGAGUAAACCACCUUAAAGAUCAUAUGUUUUGAACCUCUUGAAUCACUUGAAUAAAAGCCUUCCCUUACCCAACCAAAUGACUUGGACCAACGGACCAUUUGCAAGAAUUCAC
This 48741-nucleotide long non-coding RNA is filed under the name Brassica rapa (field mustard). RNAcentral describes it as "long non-coding RNA (BRAP_LNC005704)". The record is from RNAcentral. Lineage: Eukaryota; Viridiplantae; Streptophyta; Magnoliopsida; Brassicales; Brassicaceae.